CACAUCCCGUAAAUAUAUAUACAUAGCUUGAGUUCUAGAUUAUUCAGGCUCCCACCUUCUAGGAGUUGAGAGUGAAAGCCAUCCACCUAAGGUUUCGCUUGCUGGGUCUGGUCUUUUGGGGGCUCUGCUGUCUUGUUCCUAGGUCCGACAAAUGCCUGGAUCAAGCAUGGAGGCUCAGGUUUCCUGUUUACCAACUUAACCAACAGCUGGAUCAAGCACCGCAAAAUUAAAGGCGCAGCAGCUAUGAUCAAGGCGAGUUGAAAUUUGUCUCCAUCCCGGGUAACAGCAAAGAUUGCAGAUCCAUAAGUUAUAAUCAUUGAAACGCAGGCAACCCUUACUUCAAACUUGAAAGGAAAAUUAUGCGUGAGAGACAUAAUGACAAGUACCGCUGCUGAAAAGGCUAGGGUGUUUGAUGUCAAGAAAACGUAGUAGGCUGAUGAGUCAGAUGCAAAGAUAGCAGUGCCUGGUAUACGGUCCUUGGUAUCCUGCCAUACAGCGACAGGGGGGUUUGCAGCGACUGCUGUUUGGUUGUCCUCGUUGUCCUGCCAUACACCGCCAGGGGGGUUAACCCCAUCUUGGAAGGUCACGGUAGCUAUUAGGGUGGCAACUACCAAGAGAGCGUUGCGGGCGUCGGCUCUAUUCUUAUCCCUGUCCUCCUCGUUUGCACCUUCCUUGUACUGAAAAUAACGACACCAGUCCCUGAAAGUAGUCCCAACCAUUGUUUUCUCUUGGGUUUUGAACUACAAACAGGAUUCAAGAAUUGAAGAAGCUUUCUGUUUAUGGGGAUAUGAAGAAAAACAAAGUAGUAGAUGGAUUUCUCCAGAAAAGCUUGGGGUUUGGCUGAGUCUUAAUGCAGCUAUUUAUAGUUCGCAACAGCAUCAAUCGCGUGACAAAUAUGAAGAAAAUUCACUGUUCUUUUUCUAUAUUUGCAUGAUUAUGUUUGGACAAAAUGAGAAGUAGAUUCCUAUCUCAUCUUUGGACGUCAAUAAUUUAGAUUUUUUCAACCUUGUCAAUGUUGUAAUUAGGACAAAAAACCUGAUAGGCACUUCCACUUUCACUGCCAAGAUAUGUCUGUAUGAUUUGUAUUUCUCAAUUUUACACAGCAUUAUCUUCCUUCUUGGUCAGUGCAGGAAAGAAGAUUACAUAAUCAUGCAUUUCGAGUUUAUAUAAGUAUAUAUUUGAUAUUUUAAUAAGUCUUACUAUCCAAAAUUUCAGUAACACAAUAUUAUUGAAUACCCAUAAUUAAAGGGUUAUUUACAAAAUAUGUAAAAAAAUUAAAUAAUUAUAUGAUAUUUCGGUAGGUAAGUAUCUAAUCAUUAUUUUACGUAAUAAAGUAUCUAAUAUUUCAAUAAUUUUAUUUAUUCAUGUUUUUCAUAUAAGUUAUUGAUAAAGCAUGUUUAUGGUGACUAAAUAAUAUAUGAAAAAUAAGAAAAAUAAUCAUUCAUUUCAAAGUUAGUAAAAAAAUUGAUAAAAGUUACGAAAAAUAAUCAUAUUUUUAAAAUUAAUGUUUUUGCUUUCCAAAAUUAUUUUAAAAGUUACAGAAAUCACAUAUUCUUAAAUUUUUACAUAAUGUUAUUCACAAAGAACAUAUUAUAAGCAGGUGGACUGAAAAUAAUGACAGGAGGGUAGCAGUCACUUUUAAUUUUUAAAUUUUAUUCCGAAAUCGAAUUAUUAACUUGAUAUAAAACUUUAUAAAAUUAUUUUUUUUAAAUUUUUUUAAAAUAUANNNNNNNNNNNNNNNNNNNNNNNNNNNNNNNNNNNNNNNNNNNNNNNNNNNNNNNNNNNNNNNNNNNNNNNNNNNNNNNNNNNNNNNNNNNNNNNNNNNNNNNNNNNNNNNNNNNNNNNNNNNNNNNNNNNNNNNNNNNNNNNNNNNNNNNNNNNNNNNNNNNNNNNNNNNNNNNNNNNNNNNNNNNNNNNNNNNNNNNNNNNNNNNNNNNNNNNNNNNNNNNNNNNNNNNNNNNNNNNNNNNNNNNNNNNNNNNNNNNNNNNNNNNNNNNNNNNNNNNNNNNNNNNNNNNNNNNNNNNNNNNNNNNNNNNNNNNNNNNNNNNNNNNNNNNNNNNNNNNNNNNNNNNNNNNNNNNNNNNNNNNNNNNNNNNNNNNNNNNNNNNNNNNNNNNNNNNNNNNNNNNNNNNNNNNNNNNNNNNNNNNNNNNNNNNNNNNNNNNNNNNNNNNNNNNNNNNNNNNNNNNNNNNNNNNNNNNNNNNNNNNNNNNNNNNNNNNNNNNNNNNNNNNNNNNNNNNNNNNNNNNNNNNNNNNNNNNNNNNNNNNNNNNNNNNNNNNNNNNNNNNNNNNNNNNNNNNNNNNNNNNNNNNNNNNNNNNNNNNNNNNNNNNNNNNNNNNNNNNNNNNNNNNNNNNNNNNNNNNNNNNNNNNNNNNNNNNNNNNNNNNNNNNNNNNNNNNNNNNNNNNNNNNNNNNNNNNGCCGCCGGGGACUGUUCUCAUUGACUGAGGUGUCCUUUCUUUAUCGUCCAGGUUGCCAUUUGAUUUAGUUUAAUGGUUGUUUUAAUAAUAUAGUUCAUUUUGCUGUCAAAAGAUGUCCUCAAUUAUGUUUUGCUUUCUGGAAAAAAGAAAUGAAAUUUACUGUGAUUUACUACCAUAGGCAUAUUUUAAUCUAUUAUAUUAGUCUUUAUUUGAGUUUAAAAUGUGUUUUUAUCAUCAUUUGUUCAAUUCUCGUUCGAAUAUAAGAUUGAAAAAUAAAAAAUAUUAGAAAAAAGUAAAUAUCAAUUAUAUAAUUAAUUAAAUAUAAUUUUUUUUUAAUAAUAAUGAUCAUUUUAUUCAUAAUUGAUAAUAACAUGAUCAUCGAUUUAAAUUUACUAUCCUUAACAAAUCAGUUAAAGACUCUUAUCAAUAUUACAGUUACAUUUCAACAUCAACAUCUAUUGCAAUCAAAAAACUCAAAUAUUCUCCGAUAACAGGAUACAAAAAAUUCAUAUAAAGAAGAAUAACACUUACUUGAUUAAGAACCCAAUAAACUUCAAAGUUUUAAAAAUAAAGAACAAGUUAUUAUAUAUGUUGGCAAGAUAACAAUUACCAGAGGAGUAAAUUUCUAAGGUACUGAAUCAAUUCAUGGUACAAAGAGGAGCCACAUUCUGAAUUCCAAGUCGAUUUCCGUUCGUCUCUAAUGCUUUCGCCUUGUAUCUGGACCAACUCUCCAUUUCUUGAACAACCGUAUGGUAAACCGUGCAAACUCCUCAAGAAAUCGAAUUCCCAUCACAGUGACCGUGUUACAUAGAUCACUCAUUUUCGUUGGACGUAUAUAGCUAAUAGCUACGACAGAAGUAGCAAUCAUUGAAAACAUGGCCAGCCGCAAGCCUGCCCUGGGAGGCAUGGGCGGACCCAUGUAUAUCAGUAUAUGUGAGUGGUGUCACAUGACACCACUCAAUUAAAUAAAUAUUUAUUUAUUAUAUUAUUUUUUUAAAGUUUUAUAUAUUUAAUAAUACUAUAAACUUAUUAUUUUUUUAUAAUUUUGUAAAAAGUGAGGUCAAAAAGUAAAUUUUAUUAAAAUUUUUAUAUAUUAAUAAUAUUUAAAUAUUUUUUAAAAAAAUAUUUAAAUAUUAUCAAAAAGUAAAUUUAUAAAAAAAUAAUUUAUAUAUUAACAUUUAAAUUUUACAUGAAAAAUUAAAAUAUUUUUUUAUUAUUUAAAAUUUAUUAAAAAAGUCAAAACCUAAACUACUCUCACUCUUCAAAAAUUUUAGUCUUAUUAUUAAGACUUACAAUGACUUUCCUCUUUUUUAUCAUUGAUUGUGUUUUUCAUUCUCUCAAAGUAACUCAACUAGAUUUUAAUUGUAAAAAAUUUUUAAACCAAGUUAAGUUUUUAAAUAUUUCAUGUUUAAAUAUUCGUUGAUUAAUUUGAUAGUUUGGAUUCAUAAUUAUAUUCUUGAAAUUAUUAGUCUUUUUUUUGUAGAUAUUGAUUAUUUAAUUUUUGUAUUUAACUUUAUGUGGUUUGUAGAUUAUUAUAUUUAGUUUUGAUCAAUAAAUAGAAAAUUGUUUUAUUAUUAGUUGUUGAACUUGAUAAUUUGCUAUGUAAGAUUAUAUUUUGUUUAAUUCUAAUAUUUUAGUUUAUGGUAAUGAGUAGUAAUUUUUAACAAGGUUUUAUAAUUUUAAAUAAAUAAGCCAUGGAAAGAUAUUUUACAAGAAAAAAAAAAUUAUUUCACAAGAAUCAGAUCCCGAGCAACAACAACAAAAUUCUACUAACGAUUUUAGUCAACAAUCGUCUAAGUAAAGUUGUGUUGAAUUUGAUUUAAAUACUCUUCUGACAUAUCCUGAAUUGAGAAAUUUUUUUUUGAGUAUCAUGAUCAAAAUGAAAUUAGAAGAGCAUAUUUGCAGAAAGGGUCACUGAUACUAUCAUACCAUGUUUUCACAAUAUGAAAAAUUGUCAUGGAUAAUUAUAGGUUUUUAGAUAUUUUUAUUUUGAAGUAUUAAAUGAAUAUAUUGAAUUUACAUUUUUCUUAAUUUAAUGUUAAAAUUUUUAUUUUAUGAAUUUUAACAUAUUUAUUUUUUUACUUAGUAUUUUAAUUAUAACACCACUCAAGAAAAUUCUUGAGUCUGCCCCUGCUAAGAGGGAAUCCACUGGUGAGGAGAAAGGUCAUGGCAACUGAUGCAAUGAAACCAAUUGAAUUAAAACCGAUGAACACAGAAAAGAUUGGAGGGUUUUUACUCAUGACAGCCUCUCCGAGUGUCAUGGUUCUAGAUCUCUUCUGAACGACGUGGGUGCCGACGGUCGUAGAAUUUUUACUCUCUGCUAACCAAAAACCACUUGGUGGGCUCAGAAUUGCUUGGUAUGUGAUCGUUGCUAUCAGGACUGGCACAACCAUUAAUGAGUUUUUAGUUUCACUUGAUGAUUCCGUAACCUCUUUCAUCAGUUCCUUCCAUAGGUUCCAUGAACAACAAGAUCGCAAUAUUUGCUCGUUGUUAAGGCUUUCUGCUUCGGUUUGGAUAUGAGCAGGGCCUGUUGUGAUUUCUUGGGCUUUCACAGCUCCAGCUUGCUGAAACAUCUGAUAAAUAUGAAUAUCACACAAAUCAGCUCCACUUUGGAGCAGAAGAUCUAGGACAUCCUUCGGCGUAAAGCCGUUUGAGGUUAUGGCAUUUGCGUUAACCCUGGAAACCACUGCUUCUUGACCAAUUAACAGAGCUAUAAUCUGCAAAUGAUAUACAUCCAUAAUUUACAACUUCUGUAAAGGAUUCAAUGUGGAAUUAAACAUAACUUUUUAGAAAAUAUCGACAACGCAAUCAGUACAAUCUAUUCUUCCUUAGAAUUUAGGGUAGUCUAGGAAUUAAAGAGAAUUUAAUUAGAAUAACAGGCUUUGGACUCUAGCAUGAUCAAAACUAGGAUUUAGUCGCUCAUCUACUUCAACUUAUACGUGACAUCUUUCCGCAACCAGAACGCUGUAGAAGAAAUGUAGUUUGGUAUUUAUUACAUUUCCAAUUAAAUAAUGAUUUGCAUAAGUUUAUUGAUAAUUAAAGUUAAAUUUCAUUUGUCGAGAAAGUAAUGAAAGAUUUUUAAUUUUAACUUUGAUUUACAAGUUAAUAAAUAAUCAUAAUUUUAUUAAUUAAUUAAUUAAUAUUAAAAUUUAUCUUUAAUUAUAGGAAAUUGAAAAAAAAAAUAGGUUUCAAAUCUCACGAUUUCUUUUUAGAUUUAUAUAUUAUAUGUGUAUAUAAACAAUGGUAUAUAUAAAUUAUAAUUAAUAAUUUUAUAAAUUAUAAUUUUGUAAUGUUAACACAAAAUAAAAAAUAAAUAUGUUUACAUUUAAAGUACAUAUACAUAUAUAUACUAAAAGUAUUUUAAUAUAUACAAUAGUAAUUAUAUUCUUUAUAAAUGAACUUAAUAUAUAACGAAUAUAUAUUAAAAGACAUUAUAUGUCAAUUAAUAAUUAUUGUUUCAUGAAUUAAUUUAAUUAAUAAUAUAGAUUUGUCUUUAAUUACANNNNNNNNNNNNNNNNNNNNNNNNNNNNNNNNNNNNNNNNNNNNNNNNNNNNNNNNNNNNNNNNNNNNNNNNNNNNNNNNNNNNNNNNNNNNNNNNNNNNNNNNNNNNNNNNNNNNNNNNNNNNNNNNNNNNNNNNNNNNNNNNNNNNNNNNNNNNNNNNNNNNNNNNNNNNNNNNNNNNNNNNNNNNNNNNNNNNNNNNNNNNNNNNNNNNNNNNNNNNNNNNNNNNNNNNNNNNNNNNNNNNNNNNNNNNNNNNNNNNNNNNNNNNNUUUCUUAUAAAUUAACACAAUAUAUAAACUAUAUAUAUUAAAAGAUAUUAGAAGUUAAUUAAUAAUCAUAGUUUUAUAAAUUAAUUUAAUUAACUAUAUGAAUUUGUCUUUAAUUCAUGAAAUUAAAAAAAAAAAUUUUCAAAACUAUUCUAAUCUCAAAAGCUCUCUUUAAGUAAAUAUAUUAUAAGUUUAUAUAAACAAUGGUAUAUAUAUUAUAAUUAAUAAUUUUAUAAGUUAUAAUUUUUAUAAUAUUAACACAAAAAAAAAAUAUUUAUAUUAAAAAUAUAUAUAUAAUAGUAAUUAUAUUCUUUUAUAAUAUAAUAUAAUAUAAUAUUCAUAUUAUUUGAAUAUAAUAAAUAAUAAAUACACAAGCUAAUAUCGCAUUACAAAAGAAAGAACAAUGAACUAAAUAAAAAGACAGACAAGGCUUUAAAAACAAGUUAAAUGCAUGAACAUUUUUCGCUAUCAAAAUGGCUAAACGAACAUUGUUCAUACAUUACAGUCUGGCUAUCAAAAGUCUCAUUGUCGAUUAAUUUCUGAAAUUUCUUUUAGUUGAUGAUUGUGCCUUUUUUAGUGGUCAAGAAAAUUCUAAUUACCCUGUAACAUCUGAUAAUGCGUGUGAAUAUACUGCUUGAACUUGAAACCCUUGGAAUAUAUCAGAUAAAAACAAUAUAAAAACUAGCAUUAAAAGUCUGACAAUGAGAGUUUCCUUUUCAGUGAUGCCCCUUAUUCCCCCAAUUCUGUUAAGGGUGAUACUUUUGGUUGAUACCUGCUCUUAUCCACCUUAAGAUUCUCACAGAAAUUUUUCUUUUUUCUUUUGGCGUGCCACUUAAAGUGCAGAGGUGACGAUUGUGUUCAUAAUUGGGCAGCAUUUCGGGCUGGAACAAAGAAUGAAAACAUUGAGUGGUGCGUAGAGGCCCUGGCCUGGGAUUUAGUGAUACUUACAAAGUAGGUGAGUUGACAACACUAAUUUGUACACAAAGAAAUGCUGUUUUUUUGCUGGUGGUUCAUUUGGGUACAGAGAUGGGUCAAAAUAGAUUGCUCUAUUUGACACUUGUCUUUAUUCUUUUGGAGGGGGACAUGGAACAUGUGCAUGCAGUCACAAGCAACUACUGAUCUGCUGGAGAGAAGAAGUAAUCCUGCAAAUUUUGCCACACCCCACCAGGAGGGCUGACCCCAGCUUGGAAGGUCACGGCAGCUAUGAGGGUUGCAACUACUAACAUGACGUUCCGGACAUCGCUAGGCUUGUCUCUGCCUUCGUCGUACUGGAAAUGUUUGUUCCAGCUCUUGCCUGUGCUUAGACGGCUAACCAUUUUCUUAAUCAAUGAAAACGAUACUGAAUUCUACCUCUUCAAUUAGUAUAUAAAGGAACCAAAACGUUGGAAUUGAAUGAGUCAGUCAACAUGGAGAUGAAGCUUUUUCCACACGGUAUACAAGUUUGGAACCAAAAAACAAGCAAAUGAAAUAAAAUAAUGAAAAGGACAAGACGGGUUCCCCUCAGAAUAAGUUUGGAUUUGAUGAGCACGAAUUCAAACCUCUACUCUUUAAAUUAACUAACGAACAUGACAGGGACUCAUUUCACAGUUGACAGCCCACGAAAUAUCAAGGUGCUUUCGUUUGUUUGGUAGCAAAUAUUAGAGUAAAUAAAGUCUAUACAUGAUGAUUCCCCUUAUCAAAAAAUCUUGGCAGAUCUUCCAAAUUAUCAAAGGGAAAAGAAGGAAAUGAAGCAGAAGGGAAUACAAAUUUGGAAAAAUGAUCAAGGAAAUGUUCCCAAGCAUGUUACAAUUAUUCAUUUCACGUUGGGUGUAACCCAUAUUUCCACAGGCAUGUGGUUGAUGGCGAGCAAGCUUGAUACAGUCGUUCCUCCAUCGCCUAUUCCUUCCUAAACUUAUUGAACAUCUGAAUCAAACACCGAAUUGCAAAAGGGACUGCAGCUGCAGCCAUGACAUAACGAAACUUCAAGAACUCACGUGGAGUAACAGCAAAAACCGCAGAAGCAUAAGUCACGAUCAUCGAGAUCGUGGCAACGAUGACUUCGAGAUGGAAGGGGAACCUGUAGGUGAGAGAGAUGAUGACAAGUACUGAGGCGGAAAGAGCGAGGGUGUUCGAGAUCAAGAAAACGUAGAAGGGUACUGUUUGAGAUGCAUAAAUGGCUCUACCUGCAUAAUGUCCAUUGCCAUUAUCUUGCCAUACCCCACCGGGAGGAUUGACCCCAGCUUGGAAGGUCACGGCCGCUAUGAGGGUGGCAACUAUCAGGAGAAUAUUUCGGACGUCGCUUGGCGAGUCUCUGCCUUCAUCAUAUUGGAAAUAUUUGAACCAGCUCCUGCCUUUGCUUCUAAGAGCCAUGCUUUUAUGCAAUCAAACUGAAGAAUACUGGAAUUUGCUCGUAUAAAUAGAAACCCCAAGAGUUGGAAUUGAAUGAGUUUUCAGUCAAUACGGCGGUCUUUGUUUACAGCCCAAGAAACAAUAAAAAAAGCAAGAUAAAUUUUCUAAGACAAGUUGGGGUUUGAUUAGUCUGAACUCUGAAUCCAAGCUAUAAAUCUCUAAAAAAUUUACAACGAUACGUGGCGUCAACUGGUCAUGGAUUUGGUAGCCAAGAACUAUCAAGGUACUUUCAUGGGUCAUGACUAUUUCCCAGCAGUAGGACAGAUUCUUUUUAACCUUUUGAAGAUACUAAAAAAUUGUUUUCCUCAAUUCUUGAUGUUCAUGCCGUGAUAAAUUCUGCUUUAAGAAACAUGUAAAACUUAAUAAAAGAAAUCAAACAGGAUGUUUCGUUUGGGAUGAGAAUUUUGUAGGAAACCAACAGGAAAACGAAGAGAAACGUAGACAAGUUUAUCACUGUUCUCUGCUUUUCAAUUUUCUGGGCUACCGCCAAAGAAUAAUCAACCUAUAUUGACCUUCUUUAAAUCAUUACACUUUAUCUUUUUAUAUUAUCCAUUCUCUUAUGCUUUUUUUUUUUUUGAAAAUUAGAAUCAUUUCAUUAUUAGAACAGGAUAAACCCUUUACAAAAAAAACAGAGUAUUGUGACUUAUGCUUAAUUGUGUAUACAUUUCAAGAUAUGGGAGUUUUCUUUAUUUCAGAGCAAACUAUAACAAUUGGCAUAACUUGGAGAGGGUUUUCAUAAUUUUCCCAAAAAAUUGUGGCCGAGACCUCGGAUCAACCCCCAAUUGCUAGGAAAGACCAACUUGUUGGAGGUCCUCUCCACCAAUUCCAAGCCUUGUUCACCCAAGUUGGAAGCCACCGUAAAGCGAAUGGUAGAACAAAGGCGACCGUGAGGAGGGCAUAUGCAACACCAUCUUUUUCUGUCAUACCGUAAAUUGAAAUCCAUAGCUAAACAUCAUGGAAAGCAUUGAAAUGAGAAGCUCCCGUUGGAAGGGAAACCCCCCUGUGAGAUAUAUAAUGAUGCUGAGUGAUGCAGUGAGGCCAAAGGAGUUCCAAAACAGAAACAGAUAAGAUGUUGCCUGAGUGCCUAAUAAUGCAGAGGCAGCUACUAACGCAGAUGUUACUGCCGGUCCAGCCCUUGUCACGUUACCAGAUGCUGGAUUUGAUUGUGAGUCAUAUUCUAGCAAGCCGGAUGGAGGGUUCAGACCCUCCUGGAAAGUGACGGAGGCAAUCAAUGCAGCCACCACCAGCAGUACAUUUCGAGUGUCGCUUGGUGAAUCUCUUUCCAGCUGAAACUUGAAAUAUUUGAACCAAUCCUGUAAUGGCUCUUCUGCAAGGUCAUGCCAGGAUUGUUUCUUUUUAGCAAUUACUGUGUCAUUUUGAAGGAUUUUCCUCAUUUGGAUAUCGUUGGGUUCUUCCAUGACUAUAUCUAGUAUAUCCAUUGCAGUCAGACCCUUUGAGUUUGGGGCAUUCACUUCUAGUAUUCCAUUGAAAACAUUGUUCUUACCAACAAGCAAUUCAAGACUCUACAACAUGUAUAAUUUUAUCAGUCAAUGCCAACUGUUUUGGAGGAAAAGAAAAUUUGCCCAAGAAAAAUAAUAAGAUACUAGAUCAGAAACAGAUGGAAAUUGUUGCAGAAACAGAAUCGUAAGAGGAUAAUAGAUUAGCUAAAACUGCGAAUUGUUACUUACACUGUAUUGUCUUCGAGCAGCUGCCAGAUGCAAGACAGAGUUCCCAUCACGAACCCUGAAAUUAUGACCGUUUUCUCUUUCAGAUUUUCCAGCCAGUUGACCAAGACGCUGAAAGCAGGGAAUUGGUUGUUUUUCACAGCAAGGUGAAGUGCAGUCUCCCCAUAGCUGGUCACAUCUGUUAUACAUUUCGGACAAGUCGAAAUCAAUUCAUUUAUGAUCUCAACUCUUCCCUUUGCAGCAGCAUAAUGAAGGGCUGUUCUUUGAUCCUGGCCUGGCAGACGAUAAAUCUGGAAUUCAGUCUUUAAAAGCUGUCUGACAAUAUCUAUAUGCCCUGUAACAACUGCUAUAUCCAAAGGCCGGUAACCAUCCUUUCUCAUUUCUCCUGCAAAUUCUGGUUUAUGUUUCAUAAUCUGAUGUACAAAGUCAAGCUGACCAGCCUUAACCGCAGCAUGUAAAGGUGUCUCUGUGGAACACGACAGGGCAACAUCAGUUAGAAUCAAUGGAUUUUUCUCAAGCAAAUCGUAUAGCACCUCAAUAUUUCCUGUCCGAGCAGCUUCAAACAAUCUCUCGUUGUCCAUUUGAGAAUUUGUGAAAAAAAAUUGUAGAACCUUAUCUUGUGGUGUUAGAAAUUAUUCAAAGUAUUUGCCAGGAAAUCUGAAGCAGCUUUAUAGGAAAACUCCAACCUGUUUCUUAGAGACCACAAAAGAAGAGGAGUUGGUCUACUGUCUGCAAAUAUUAUACAAAUUUUUUGUUACAAUCGUCAUCGGAAGUUUUCUGACUACAGAAUCAAGCGUUGAAUUUUUUUUUUUGGGGAUUUCUUACCAUAUGUCACAGUUUUCUUAUUUAAGGGAUGCAUUAGCUAGGAAUUAUGAAUAAAUUAAUUAAUGACUUGAUGAAUAUGAUGAUUCCUUCGUUUUGCUUUCAUGAAAUAACCAUUCUUUGUCCUUUACAAUUUUUUCUUGUGUAAUACUGAUACCUGCAGAUAAGGCAAGAAACUGAAUAGACUAUUGGGAAUUCAAGCCUUUUGUUACCAGAUGGUGAAUUUUUACUUGAUCUGGAAAUAUUUAGCCCCACUGACUUGAUCCCUUCUGCUAAAUUCUCUACAUUGUUCUACAGAAAUUAACUGCUUGCAGUUGCUAUUGAUGCCAGCAUUGGCGAUACUCACCAACAAGUCCAACGCAUGACCAGUCAAAAUACACUGAUUUCUCAGAUUUCUCAAGAUCUGCCUUCUUUCUUUGUUUCUUUUUAAAUUAACAGGAUACAGAAAACACAUGUAGGGAAGAACAACAGAAACAAUUAAAUGAAUGGAUAUGCACUUAUUUGAUAAAUGAACCAAAUAAACUUGUAAAUUUUUACAAAUGAAGAACAAGUUAUUAUGUUGGCAAGAUACAAUUACCAGAGGAAUGAAAUUCUAAAUUACUCAACUGAUUCAUGAUACAAGAGAAGCACAUUCUAAACUCUAUUACCGUCGCCUUGUAUCUGGAACAACUCCCCAUUUCUUCAGCAACCACAUGGUAAACCUUGCCAACUCCGCAAGAAAUAGAAUUCCCAUCAAAAUGACCACUAUGUAUAUUUCUCUCAUUUUGGUUGGACCCAUAUAGAUUACAGCUAUCACGUAAGUACCAGUCAUUGAAAGUAUGGCCAGCCGCAAGCCUGCCCUGAGAGGGAAUCCACUGGUAAGGAGAAAGAUCAUGCCGAAUGAUGCAAAGAAACCAAUUGCAUUGAAAACAGUGAACACAGCAAAGAUUUCAGGGUCGCUAGCCAUGACAGCCUCUCCAGGCAUUGUGGCUCUCUUCUGAACGGUGAUGGUCUGAGAUUUUCUGUUCUCUGCUGACCAAAAACCACUUGGAGGGCUCAGAAUCGCUUGUUAUGUGACUGUUGCUAUCAGGACUGCCACAACCAUUAGUGCAUUUUGAGUUUCAGUUGAUGAUUCCGUAACCUCUUUCAUCAGUUCCUUCCAUAGGUUCCAUGAACAACAAGAUUGCGAUGUUUGCGUGUUGAUAAAGCUUUCUGCUCCGGUUCGGACAUUAGCCGGUUCUGUUGUGAGGUCUCGGGCUUUCACAGCUCCAGCUUGCUGAAACAUCUGACAAAUCUGAAUAUCAUAACAAUCACCUCCACUUUGGAGAAAAAGAUCUAGGACAUCCUUUGGUGUAAUUCCGCUUGAGUUAAUGGCGUUUACGUUAAUCCCAGAAACAACUGCUUCUUGACCAAUUAACAGACCUAUAAUCUGCAACCGAGAAUAUAUAUUCAUAAUUUACAACUUCUGGAGAGAAUACCAAUAGCACAAUCAGUGAAAUCUAUUCAUUAUUAGAAUUUUACGUAGCCAAGGAAUAAACAGAAUGUAACUAGAAUAACGUGUGUUGGACUCCACCAUGACCAAAACCAUGAUUUAGUAGCACAUCUGCUUCAACUUAUACCUGACAUCUUUCCACAAUAAGAAUGCGGUCGAAGAAAUGUUGGUAUUUAUUAGAUUCCCGAUUAAGUAAUGAUCUGCAUAUUGUUCAUUAACACCUAGUUUGUCCUUUUCUUCAGCUUCAAACAAAUGGUUUCCCUUGGGAAAGUGCUUAAGGCACUCAGCCAGUAUCUAUGUGCUCUCAUCUUUGCUUAACUAUGCAGCUUGUUACAUUAUCUGACAGGACAAUGCCAUCUUUUUUAAAGGCAUUCAGGAUUCAUUAACAGUCUGAUUUCACAUGCUGCAGACUUGGUUUUUGAGCAGAUAGGAGACACCAAGAACAAAUGAACGAAUACAAUAAAUCAAAAAAGAAGAGAAACGAAUAAAUAAGAAUAGAUGAAGUAAAUAACUAUCAGGAAAUUGAGAAAAAAAAAAUUAGCAGGAAGAACUGCACUUGCCUCAUGUUGUCUGUUGAAGGUUGCCUGAUGUAAUAUGGUGUUCCCAUCCCUGUCUUUCCAAUUCAAAAUUUCCGUCAUAUCUAACUUUCGCAUCUCCUCAAUCAAAACCCUUGCAGCCUCAAUCUGGUUACUCUUCACAGCCGAAUGAAGGGCAGUUUCCCCGAAAGCAGUCAGUUCUUUAACAGACUCGGGGCAAGCCCAGACCAGUUCCUUAACAGCAUCAACUCUGCCUUUCAAAGCCGCGCAAUGAAGUGGAACCUUACCAUCUUUUCCCUUCAAAAGACAUAUGUCACAUCCAACUCUCGUAAGCUCUCUUAUAAUUUCCACGUGCCCUUUAGCCGAAGCGACAUGCAUGGGGCUAUAACCACUUUCACUUAGCUCCCUGGCGAAUGCUGGCUUUCUGCUCACAAUUUCUCUUGUGAUUUCUGUUUGUCCUGCCAUUGCUGAUAUGUGUAGAGGAUUAUCGACAGAGUUUAAGGCAACUCGAUCAAGCAGAAAUGGAUCUUCCCCGAGUAAUGAGUGAAAUGCAGAAAUAUCUCCAGAACGAGAUGCUUCGAACAAUCUUGGUUCCAUUUCUACUUGAUCUUGUUGCCCUUACCAAUGUGACAAAAUGUAGUGUGAGCUUUGUGUUUUCUUGGAAUAUUUUAUAGUAUAUUUAAGGUGAUAGAAUUCGUCACCGGGAAUGGAAUUUGAUCCUAUGGGCAAACUGGCAAGCAAUGCAAGCAAAAGACAAAGUACUAUCUGCUUUUUACUAUUAAUUUACCUUUGAAACCUGGAAAGCGGCAUAGAAGGUAACUUAGAAAAUCUGACAGAUUUGAAUGGUCUAAAUUCUUUAAAAUGAAGAAGAAUGCAUGGUGGAACUAAUUAAUUUUUGUUUGGGGGCCAAAAUGAAGAAGAAUUAAGGUUAAAAUUUUUUAAAACUAAUAUGUUGAAUUUAAUCAACAAUUUUUUUCAGAAUUGAGCUUGGAUGUUUUGAUUUAUAUUACUUUUGUUCAUGAGUUGAGGCAUUCAGAUUUAAUGACUCAAGUGUAAGAGAAUCAUUUGAAUGAUUUUCAUCUUUUUCUUUUAAAAAAUUUGUUAAUUAUUUUUAACUUACUCAUAUUUUAAUUAAACUUGAAAAAAAAAUUUAAUGCAGUCAAUAUUCAAUAUUCUUAUUUUAUUUCUAUUUAAAUUUAAAAUAUUAAAUAUAAAACUAUAAUGCAUAAAAUAUAAAUAAUUAAACACGAUAUACAGAAUUUCAAACAAUGAUUAAAUAUAUAAAUAGUUAAAUAAUAUAGAUAAAAAGAACAAAAUAAAAAAAAACUUUACCUCUUCUUAAUGUCACACAAUAGUGAUGAGUAGUAACGUUCUUUUUUAUCCAAGCUUACAAGCUAAUAAAUUUUUUUUGAAGAAAGAAAUAUGUUUCAAUGUUGAGUUCCACAUAAGAGAGUAAGAUAAGAAUAAAAGAGAAUAGAAAAAGAAAAAGAAAGAAAGAGAAAGAGUUAAAAGAGAAAUAUAAGAAUUAAGAUAAAAUUGAAUAAAGUUUGUAAAAUUAAUUUAUUAUUUGUUAUUAAUAUUAAUUAUUAAAUAAAACAAUUAUUUUGAAAAAAUCAUUUAAAAAUAUAUAAUAAAUAAAUAAAUUUAAAAAAUUAAAAUAUAUAUAAUAAAUAUAUAAUAAAUAAAUAAUUUUAAAAUUUUAAAAAAAUCACUCCCCACGCAGAUACAUUACCCUUGCCUCCUCCCGGUAGGCAAUGCUUUAAUUAGUUUAAGGAUUUUCUUUUAAUAAUAUAGUUUAUUAUUAUGUUUUGCUUUUGCCAAAAGAAAUGAAACCUAUUGUGAUUUACUACUAUAGUCAUACACGCAAUUUUUAACCUAUUACAUUAGUCUUUGUUUGAGUUUAACAUGGGUUCUUAUCUUUAUUUGUACAAUUUCGUGUUAGUCAUGUUUGGCUCAUUGGAAGUAUCAUUUCAUUCCAACAACAGUCUCACUAAAUAAUUGUUCUACUAUUUAAUUCAUUCUUUUAUCAAAAAAAAUUAUUCUUCAAAAUUUAUAAUUUUUUAAAUUUUUUAAUAAUUCAGAUAUUAAUUAUUUUACAGGAGUUAAAAUUCUUUUUACCAAAUCGUGAUUAAUUAAUGCUUCACAUUUAUGAUCUCUAUUACAAAUAAAACUUAAUUAUAGUAGUGGUGGUAUUGUUUAUGCGUCAUGCAUUAUUAGAGAAACUGAGAACAAUAAAAGUUGACAAGUAAAAAAAACUUGAGAUUGGAUAUAUGUGAUUGUCGAACGUGGUGAAAUGGGUUCUUAACCCAGCUAUGGUGACAUGGAGGAUGAGAAAACUUUACAUCCAAAUCACAAAUUGCUCAAGAAUUUAAGACAACGGCGGAUAAAACACACUUUCGCCCAGCUAAUGAUGAUGUUGAUGCCUUUCAAAAAAAAAAAAUGAUGAUGUUGAUCGACUUGCGAAAGAGGGGUCUCACGGCCUCAACAGUUGCUGUGGGUUAAUCAUGAACCGCCUCCCAAUCAAGGUAUUGGUUCUAGUUGUGUGAUUGUGAAAUUGUAAAUGUCUUUGUUCUUGAUUCUUCCAAGUGAAUUCCUUGAUCUGUUGGGAUAUUUUUUUUGUUAGUUUACAGCUUGAUUGUUUGGGUAACAACAUUUCUAGUGGGGUUGUGCUGAUCCCAGGUCAGGGAGGGUUUGCUGUUCACAAACAAUAUGUAUAGGUGAUUUUAAGAAGCAGAGAUAGGCCUUUUUGUAAUCCUGUUUUGCGUUCUGUAAUCAUCGAUAUUAUUAAUACAAACUAUUAUAUGUAUUAAAAAAAAUUAUCAUAUUAAAUAAUAAUUAUUUUUUAAAAAUAAAUAAUUUUGAUUCACAUUUAUAUUUUUUUCUCGUAAUGUAUGUAUCAUGAUCUUAAAUAAAAAUCGUGCAUUUCACGUCAACUAUAUACUAAAGUGAAACUAAUCUCAAUCUAUAUCUUAAAAAUUGAUAUAAACCACGUGAUAUAACUUAUAGACAGAUGGUGAUUGGUUCUCCUUUAAGAGAGGUUAAUUAAUCAGACCAAUUCUCCACUUACUUGAAAGUCGGCAAGGUUUUUCUUGUUUCAACGACAGAUUUUAUUAUAUGCUACAACUAGUCUUUAAUUUUGGUCAAAAAGACUUCUCUUGACAUAAAAGUUCUGAACAUUUUCUAAGCAAUUGAUUGUGUAUAGACUACUUUCCAAGCCCUCUACAUGUGCCAACAACAUGACCCCAUCUUACAAGAUUGCUGAACAAUAAGAGGUCCUCGCUCUGUGGAACACGUGUCCGCAAGGUUAAUUAAUAGGACCAAUUUGACUCGAGAAGCUUGGCCAUACAAAUGCUGGGGGCUGUAAGCAGAUGAAGCAAAUGCCUUUGCAUUCUAAACGGUUCUUUUUAUAUAACAUAGGAUUAGAAAUUCGAAAAUAUUAAAGAAGGGUUUAAAGCUUUACUUGUCUUACUGUUACUAUGCAAAGGUUCUUGUUAAUAAUAUAGGAUUAGAAAAUCAAAAUUUUUAAAGAAAGGUUUAAAGUGUUAUUGUUUUAAUGUAAAUAUGCAAAAAAUUUAUGAGUGAUAAAUCUCAAAAUUAUUUAUAUUUUAUAUUAACAAUUAAUUCAGUAACACUUAUUAAUAAAUGAUAAGAUUAUUUUAUUACAAUUUUAAUGUAUCCGUAUACUUGUUGGUAACUAAUAAGCUUGAAAGAUAUUCACAUUCCUAUCAAGAAAAAAUCGAGGAAUAGUUAUUUUAACAUUUAAUUAACUUUAUUUUUUAUAGUCUGUAUUUUUUAAAAUUUUUGAAUAAUUAAGAUAUUAACUAGGAGUAAAAAUUCCUCCUAAGGAGUAGUGAUUUAUUAAUGCUUCACAUUUACAAUCUUGAUUUUUGUUUUUUGAAAAGCUGAAUAUUCAUUCACAGGCAAACGAUUUGCACGGAAGUCGCAGGCUAACAAAAGCAGACCUGUCAACAAACAGCAAGAAAAAACUCUUGUUUAGGUCCAGCACAUACUGGGCAGCGGACCAGCCUAUACAAAAAAAUGACUCAACGCCUGCUUUAAUCAAGCUUCGACAAAAAUACAAGGCAUCAACUUCUUUCCACAAAAAAACGAAGCAAGCUAAAACAAUUAAACCCCAGAACAGUUAAUCCACAGCAGUUUCUAGGCUCUUUGAACCCCACCCUUAGCCAAUGUGUCUGCAUCUCCAUUGGCCGAACGUAGGUUAUGCCCAAUUUGCCAUUCAUCAAUCCUCGUCAACAUAUUGUGAAUAAAAAUAAUUUCUUUCCGCAAUCUCCAAGGGACUACAGACGGAUUCCUUACCCAUUUAACCACGUUUGAAGAGUCAGAUUCUAUCAUUAAUUUCACGGAGGACCUCCAUGUAGAAGCUGCAAAGAUAACCGCAGCCUCCUUCACUGCCAACAACUCUUCUAAGUUAGAAUCUAUCAUCCCCAUAGAUUUGGAGAAAAGAGCCAUAACGUCUCCACUCCAAUCUUUAAGGAUGCUGCCAAUUCCAGCAUGACCUGGGUUACCAUGGGAAGCACCAUCAGUGUUAAAUUUGUAGCUGCCCUCCCCUGGUUUCUCCCAACUCUGUAUUUCCCUUUAGUGACUGACUCUCCUCGGAUUAGUAGCAUUGCAGGGGUCUUUAAUCAGAUCAUCAACACCCAAAUUAACCUCAGGCCAUUUGGCAUGCGUCCACCAAGCAAUGCGCACUAUAACAAGCUCAAACACUUGGCUGCUGUCCCAACUCUUACCCUUGAACACCAUAUCGUUUCUUGUAAUCCAAAUAGACAAUGUAAUAGCAUAAAAAGCCAUCCUCCAGACCAACCCAUUUUCAAAACAGCUAGCAGCGUUAUUCCACCUUUGGAACCAAAUUUCAAGUUUAGAGUAACUCACCCAUUCAGUUUUCCAUAAAGCACACCACUUCUGCCAUACUCUCCAAGUUUCACUGCAAUUAAAAAACAGGUGCCCUACAGACUCAAUUUCAGAUCUGCAAAUUAAGCAGAUAGCAGCCUCACUCUUGAGAAUACCUCUGCUCACUAAUAACUCCUUAACAGCCAACCUCCCUUGAAGUACCUGCCAGCAGAAAAGCUCUACUUUAUGGGGUGCUAACCCAGCCUGUAUUUGCUUUCAAUAACCUGCGUAAUAUCUAUUAGAGGAAAGAACACUCCUACAAAGCCCUAGCCUCAACAAAAUCAAGCUGACUAGCCUUAACUGCAAGACGUAAAGGUGUCUGUGUGGAACACGACAGGGCAACAUCAGUUAGAAUCAAUGGCUUUUUCGCAAGUAAAUCGUUUAGCACCUUAAUAUUUCCUUUCCGAUAGCAGCUUCAAAUAAUCUUACAUUAUCCAUUUGAGAAUUUGUGAAUAAAAUUGCAGAACCUUAACUUGUGGUGUCAGAAAUUAUUCAAAGCAUUUGUCAGGAAACCUGACGCUGCUUCUUAGAAAUACUACAACCCGUUUCUUAGAGGCCACGAAAGACGAGGAGUAGGUCUGCUGUCUGCAAAUAUUAUACAAAUUUUAUAUUACAAUCUCCUUUCCUUUGAGUCUCUUUUAAACUAUGGUAAAUUAGAUAUCCAAUCUUGAAUAUUUGGUAUAAUCAUCAAAGAAAAUUAGAGCUCAUCAAGUCAGAUAACACUUUCUUGCUAAAGCAAUUUUCUUUGGUUCAAAGCACAUUCUGCUCACAUAAUUUUUUAUCGCUAAAACAAAGUCCAUUAUAUUAAUUAAGUGACUGUACGAACCCUCAUAAUUCAAAUAAUUGAAUUCGUACAAAAAAAAAAUUGGAAACCCUCGUAGGAUGCGGUUCAUUCUGUAUAUAUCAUCUUCUGAAUGUGAGCCAUUGAUAGUGCCAUCUCUGGUUAGCCUUGAUUUUCUGCUUCCUUUUUUUUCUUUAUAAAUUGCCUGUUUUUCCCUCUUCCCCCACUUAAUUUUUCUUCUAUCUCAACAUAGUCCUUCCAAUCUAGCUCACAUAGAAAGUUUGGGAACCAUCCCAUAAUUUCUUACAACAUGUCACGGUUUAAUUUUUUUAAAAAUUGGAGUUUAUUAGCCAGUAACCGGUAUACCAUUGAUAGUCUCGAACUGGAGCUGCCGGAGACUCUCAUUGGCAUGAAAUGAAAACCGGCUUGGCAAAAAAGGCAUGAACAAAAAGGUUCACCAAUCCUUACAUAAACCAGCAGUAUGCCCUCAUCAAUUAGUAACGUCACAAAAUAGUCUCGAUCCUGCUUAAGAUAAAAAACAAACAGCAGGAAACAAGGAGGCUAUACAACAAAGACAUAAUUUCUAAAAAUCAACCUCAAACAGUGACAGCAAUACCCUAAGACCACGAAACAAAAAUGAUCCAAAAACAGAGUAGAGACUUGAAGAUCCCUUGAAGCCCUUGAUCAUCAAAGCCAAGAUCCAAUCGGAGUCGAAAAAUUGGACAGCACAUUGACAGAUCCGAGCGAAGAAGGAUCAACAUAAUUAACUCGAAACACACCACAGGCAAAGGAACCAAGACACGGUCGUGUCUACCUGGAGAACAUGACCUGCAACCGGCACAAAAAGGAAGGCCAGCAACUCCCACACGAUCAGCAAGCCUCAAAUGCAGAAGAAAGCUGCUUCACCUUGAAGACAUAAUGAAUAUGAUGAUUCGCUCGUUGUGCUUUCAUGCUAUGUCCAUUCUUUGUCCUUUUCAGUUUUUUCUUGUGUAAUACUGAUACCUGGCCCUGCAGAUAAGGCAAGAAACUGAAAAGAAAAGGAAUUCUAGCCUUUGUUGUCAGGUGCUGAAAUUCUAUUUGGUCUAAAAAUAUUUAGCCCCACUGACCUUAUCCCUUCUACUAAAUUCUCUAUAUUGUUCUACAGAAAUUAACUGCUUGCAGCAGCUAUUGAAGCCAGCAUUGGCUUUACUCACCAACAAGUCCAUGCAUGACUAGUCAAUUUAUCAAAAUAGACUGAUUUCUUAGAUUCUCAUGAUCUCUCUUCUUUCUUUGUUUCGUUUUAAAUUAACAGGACAGAUAAAAUUCCUGUAAUAGGGAAGAGCGCCACAGAAACUAUUAAAUGAAUGGAUAUGCAGCUGAUAAAUAAACCAAAUAAACUUUUAAUUUUUUUUUAUUGUGAAUGAGAGAAGCAAAUGGAAGGAGAUUGGUUCAUCCGAGGUACAUUAAUAGCUGGUAAGAAGGUGGUGAGAAAAGGGCAAAAAGGAAUUCUGCAAACUGUCAGUAGGGCGGAAGAACCUGAUGUGGGAGAUCCUAUUUUAGCGAAUGAGCAAAUGAGAGUUGAGAAGGUGGGCUAGAUUGAAAUGAAAAUAGAAAGGAGAAUAUAGGGCCAGGUAAGGAAUUAGGGCUCGAAGCUCGUGAGCAAAGAGGACGAGGGAGAGGGGCCGGGUGAUAGAUGAGCCCGAGGAGGAGAUUGGAGUAGGGCUCAGAAUUGCUUCGUAUAGGACUUUGUAAUCUUUAAUACACACAUUUUAUUUGUUUGAAAUAGGCAAAGCACACAUUCUGUUUAUUUGGUACAUAACAAAUCGCACACUUUAUUUACUAAUUAUACAAACUUAAUGAAACUCCCAAGUACUAGUAUUAAUUUUGGACACAUACCCUGUGUCACAUCCUAUAACAUAUAUAAACAGCAUGAGUUCUAAGUUGUUCGGGCUCCAACUUCUAGGAAUUUGCCUGUGUCUGCCUACGUUCAUUGUUUUCCUCCAUCCGCCUAAGGUUGUGCUUGCAAGGUCUGGUCUUUCGGGGGAUCUGCUAUCUUGUUUCUAGGCCUGGAAAAUGCCUGGAUCAAACAUGGAGGAUCAGGUUCCCUGUUUUUCAACUUAACCAAUAGCUGGAUCAAACACCGCAUAGCUAAAGGCACUACUGCUGUAAUCAGGGCGAGUUGAAACGUUUCUUCAUUCGGGGUAACAGCAAAGAUCGCAGAUCCAUAAGUUAUAAUCAUUGAAACACCAGCAACCGUUACUUCAAACUUGAACGGAAAAUUAUGCGUGAGAGACAUAAUAACAAGUACCGCUGCAGAAAAGGCUAGGGUGUUGGAAGUCAAGAAAACGUAGUAGACAGAUGAUUCAGAUUCACAGAUAGCAGUGCCUGCUAUAUGGCCCUCAUUGGUUUCCUGCCAUACACCGCCAGGGGGGUUAACCCCAUCUUGGAAGGUCACGGUAGCUAUUAGGGUGGCUACUACCAAGAGAGCGUUACGGGCGUCAGCUCUAUUCUUCUCCUUAUCCUCCUCUUUUGCACCUUUCUUGUACUGAAAAUAACGGCACUAGUCCUGGCCAUUUUUUUUCAAGAAAAAUGUGAGAAAAUGAUUUUGUGAUAAGGUGAUUUCAAAUAUAACCGACCAUAUAAAGUUAUCUGUUUCUACCCAAAAAUAAACAUGAGUAGACCAAAAUGCCCUUAAAAACAUCAUUUCAAAGAAAUGCUCAGCUGUUUGAGCUAUCUGCCUCUCGCCAGAGAAAAAAUGAAAAACAUUAAAAAUAAAUGCGCGCAGCUAUUUAGGCUCGAUCAUCUUUCUCUGUCUCAACUCUGGUAAGUCUUUGUUGAGCACCAUCGUUGUCAGCUCUCUCAGAUCUCUGAACUGUAUGAGCUCUGUCAACUCUCUGUUGAGCACUAUUGUCAUUGGGCUGUGGUCUAUCUCUCGACAUUUGGCCACAUUGUCAUAGAUUAACACACCCUAUAGCAGAGAUGACAUCAAGGUACCUGUUAUUGGGUUUAUUUCUGCAACACACUUAAAUUUCUGAAACAUUUGGUGUAAAUAAUAAGAUGGAUAAGAAACAUUGCCCAGAGUUGUUACACGCCAUGCAUCUAUAACAUGAGUGAAGAGUUAUUUUAGCGUGUCACGGCUGUUACUGGAGUGUUGUCGGCUAACUAGUUAUUUGGGUUGUUAGCGUGUCACGGCUAUUCUUGGGGUGUGGUGAGUGAACUAAAUGUAUGGGUUUUUGGCGUGUCAUGGCUGUUCUUGGAGUGUCGUGGGUUAAUUGGUUUUUGGGAUUUUUAACGUGUCACGGAUGUUGGUGUAACCAGUCAGUAAUUACAGUGAUUGGCGUGUCACGAUAAUGAUGCAUGGUGUGUCACGACAGUGAUGCAUGGCGUGUAAUGAUACUGAUGCAUGACGCGUCACGAUAUUUGACUUGAUAUGCAUGACGUGUUACAACAUUUUACGUUAUAUGCAUGGCGUGUAACAACACGACUAACAAAUUUUUGAUCACGGCAUGUAUUGUGUAAAAUGAUUGACGAUAUUUUUUUUUCAAAAUUUCAGUGGAGUUCCAAUUGUGCGACUUGUGAUAAGACACGGUAGUUAGUAGGUGGAUGGCAUUUACAAGGGUGGUGAGUCACGAAUGAGGCGGGUUAGGAGUGAUUUGUCGUUUGUAGGCUUGAUGAAGCUGGUUGAAGAUGUUGUUAGGGUCAACUCAGAAAUUGACGAGAUUGAGUUACAUGCAUUGAUCAGUACACCCGAAGAGCUAUUACGGCCAAUUAUCAAGGACGAUGAGGAUGUUGCAUUAAUUUUGCUAGAACAGAGGAAUGUUCCGGCUGUGUAUGUCAGCAUUAGGGGACGCCAAAUAAAUGUUAUGUCACAUGGAGAAGUUGGACAACAUGGUAAUCAACUCAAUCAAAAUGAGAUUUACAAUGCUUCACAUAUACCACAACAUUCGGUCUGUAACCCACAACAAUGGCAAUUGAGGUAUGCACAAGAGUUUGUGCAACCCGGUAGACAGACGACAUUCACAGACAGUUGGCUACACAAUUUCGAUCAGGAUGUGCAUCAAACCAAUUUCUUGCUUCUCUUGAACAAAUGCAACGAUCGGGUGAAAUUGUAGAGUGUGUAAUGCCAUUGUCAAAUGAGAAUAUGACAGUUGAGGACAACAAUGUGAGGUUGGAGGGUGACACUGCGACGCUGGAGUAUAAUACUACAUUUGAUGAGGGAAAUGAGGAUUUGUUCGCUGCCGGUGAAGAUAGAUUUGAUCACACUUCAAAUGAUGGGCUUGAACAAUCACAAGAUGACAGUUCAGACGAUGAUUGCCUUUAUGACAGUGACAUUCCAAUUUGCAAUAAUGUUGAAGGUGAAACAGAACCUGUUGGAGGUGUUGAUGUAUGAGAUGUUCAGUGUGAUGACCCCAUAUACAAUAACCCCAUCGCUGGUGAGAACGGGAUUCGUUCCCUUGAUAUAUUGCUCGAUGACAGUGAUCAUGAAAGGAAAAAUGCAGGGAUAUCUCGUACGUGGGUAAUUGCAAGUGCAGAAAGGUUAUUCUUCCAAAUAAUUACCACUGAAGAGUCGACAUGUGCCGAAGAUCCCUUAUACAAAGGAAGAAUGUUUUCAUCGAAGGUCGAGUUGAAACGAGCUUUAAACAUGUUGGUUAUAAAAGAGAAGUUUGCGAUAAGAGUAAAAAGGUCAUGUAAAGCUCGUUAUGAGGUUAGUUGCAAGGACAAGGCAUGCAAGUUCAGUGUUUGUGCAACGAAGUUACCUGAUAGAGGAGAAUAUUGGAAAGUUCGGACAUUCCAUAAAAUACACACUUGUAUCGUUGAUGAUUUGCAAGGGCAGUUUCCAACUACGAGUGCGAAGAUGAUUGGUAAACUUAUGUCACACAAGAUUCGGGCUAAUGGAGUAGCAUUGAGACCUAAGGACAUAAUUUGUGAGAUGAAGGUUUAGUGGGGAUUGGAAUGCUUGUAUAGUAAGACUUGGCCAGCGGAGGAGUAUGCGAAGAGGCUUCUUUUCGGUCCAUCGGAGGAGUCAUUUCAACUACUACCAUCGUAUUUUUAUAUGUUGGAACAAGAAAAUCCUAGCAUAAUGACUGCAGUGGCUAAUGAUGAGGAAGAGAGAUUCAAAUAUUGUUUCUGGUCAUACGGGGCUUGUAUUCGGGGGUUUAGGGAUGUAAUGCGUCUUACGGUUGCAAUUGAUGCGACACAUCUAAAAGCCAGGUUUAAGGGUGUUCUGUUUGUCGUUGUAUGCAAAGAUGCGAACGAGUGCGUAUAUCCAGUUGCGUUUGGCAUCGGCCAUGUUGAGGAUGAAAACUCGUGGAUGUGGUUUCUUAGCAAGCUACGUGAUGCGGUUGGUUGUCCUGAAAACACUAUGUUUAUUUCUAACCAGCAUCUCGGCAUUAAGAAAGUAAUCCAAAAUGCAUACCCAGAAGUGCACCAUGGUUUAUGCGGUUACCACUUGUAAAAAAACUUUAAAAACAAGUUCAAGCGCGACGAUGUUUAUAUGCUUUUCACCCUUGCUCGAGAUUGCUAUAAGGUGGCCGAUUUCAACAGACAUAUGAACCAGAUAUAGCAGAUUUAUUUGGGAGCCCACGCGAACUUUAUGAGAAUAGAGCCUGAGAAAUGGGCAUGUGCAUGUUCACCUGCAAAGCGAUACCAAAUGAUGACAUCCAACAUUACGAAAUGUGUUAACUCAUGCUUAAAGCAUGCAAGGCAAAUGCCGAUCACUGUUUUGAUCGAGUUCAUCAGAGACAUGUUUCAGAAUUGGUUCCAUGAACGGUACGAGAAAGCCGUCAAGGUGACCACGCCUCUCAGCCCUUGGGUUGCCAGGCAGUUGAGUAAAAGGUUCAAUGAUGCACAUCGCUUUCUAGUUAAUCCUAUCAAUCGAGCGGAGUUCGAAGUUAAAGAUGGGAAGAUGGACGGACUUGUAAACCUGUCCAGGAAGAUGUGUUCAUGUUGUGAGUUCCAAACAGAUUUACUACCAUGCAGCCAUGCCAUUGUAGCAAUAACAGAAUAUCUUUAUUUUUUAUUUGAACUGUAAUUGACAUAACAUUUACAUUAUGCUUGAAGAUUGAGUUUUUAGUGUUUUUCAGUAAAUGCAAUCGUGAAGUCAUUGAAUUCUGCGCUGACUGCUACAAGAUAACCGUUUUUGUGGAAGGUUAUUCAGGAUCCAUUAGGUUGGUAGGGCAUCCUAGUGAGUGGGACAUCGCCCCUCAUGUGAAACAAAUUAUCGUCUUGCCCCCACCUUGGCGAGGCCAAGUAGGAAGACUUAGGAAGAGAAAGAUUCCAUCAGCUGGUGAAGGUAGUCGAACACAGAGAUGUUCACAAUGCAAGAGGUACAAGCAUAACAGACAGAACUACUCAUCCCCAUUUGCAGUUCCAUCCAUAAAUCUGGCACCAUCUCCAAGUCAAUCGACGACUCCACGACUGCGCCGACCCAAAGCAUGUUCAAGUUGCAGACAAACCGGUCACAUAUGCAACAACUGUCCAAUACAAAAGACAAUGUCCAAAAAUGUGCCUGAUUUUGAUAUGCAUGUCAUGUCACAGAAUUUUACUUGUUAUGCAUGGCCUGUGAUAGCAUUUUACUUGAUAUGCAUGGUGUGUGACAGCAUUUUACUUGAUAUGCAUGGUGUGUUAUAACGUUUAACUUGUUAUACAUAGCGUGUUAGCACAAUUUACUUGUUAUGCAUGACGUGUCAUUUCAUUUUUCUUGUUAUGCAUGACGUGUCACAAUAUUUUAUUUGAUAUGCACGGCGUGUCACAACAUUUUACUUGUUAUGCAUGGCGUGUCUCACAUUUAUUCCUUAUUUAUUUCUUCUGUAUACCUUGUUGCACAUUAUGGCUUAACUCAUUGGUGCAUCUGUGCCAUGUUUUGCAGAUCCAACACAUACAGUAUGAGGAUCUUAACAUUUUGUCUGCUCGAUCAUUCUAUGAGGCACUUUUAGUUACGGACUUUGUUGCCAAACAUUUCAAGCAGAUAAGCUUGUCAAGGCCUCUGUCUGAUCAAGAUCGCGUUAAAGUACAUUCUUACAUUGUUUGUAAAAAUGUUUCCGAUUACAAUCUCCAUCAGACAGGAGCCACAUAUUUGUUUAUCUGCCUGAAAUGUUUGGCAACAAAGUCUGUAACUAAAAGUGCCUCAUAAAAUGACCGAGUAGAUAAAAUGUCAAGAUCCUCAUACUGUAUGCAUUGGAUCUGCAAAACAUGGCACAGAUGCACCAAUGAGUUAAGCCAUAAUGUGCAACAAGGUAUACAGAAGAAAUAAAUAAGGAAUAAAUGUGAGACAUGCCAUGCAUAACAAGUAAAAUGUUGUGACACGCCGUGCAUAUCAAAUAAAAUAUUAUGACACGCCAUGCAUAACAAGAAAAAUGAAAUGACACGUCAUGCAUAACAAGUAAAUUGUGCUGACACGCUAUGUAUAACAAGUUAAACGUUGUCACGCACCAUGCAUAUCAAGUAAAAUGCUGUCACACACCAUGCAUAUAAAGUAAAAUGCUGUCAAAGGCUAUGCAUAACAAGUAAAAUUCUGUGACAUGACAUGCAUAUCAAGUAAAAUGUUAUCACAAGCCAUGUAUAACAAGUAAAAUUCUGUGACAUGACAUGCAUAUCAAGUAAAAUGCAGUCACACGUCAUGCAUAUCAAGUAAAAUGCUAUCACACGCUAUGCAUAUCAAGUAAAAUGCUGUCACACGCUAAUAACUAACUAUAAUAACAAUAGCGUCACACGUUAAACACCCAAAACCCCUAAAACCACUACGACUUAACCACAACAACCAUCAAACCAGCAAGAAAACAUAGUCUAAACAUUUGCAAAACAAAACAAAAAACCCGAACAUAUCAAAUAAACCCAGGAAAAAAUCAAAAAAUUAACGAACACAAGAAUGUUACGAAUUUGAGACUCACUGACCUCUUCAUUCAUGGCCGACAUUUUUGCUGCUAUUGUGGUUUCGUUCCUCUUGCAAAGAGCCUUCUCGAACACUCUGGUACCGACGGGAAUGAGAAAUGAAUCACACAGAUGUUACAAAUUUUGUGUAAUAACUGUUUAAAAUGAAAAAUGACCUUAUAAUAUUCUUAUUUAUUCUGAAAAAGGGGAAUUAAUUCAGUGAAAGUCCAAAGGAUUACCACAUUUACUGCCCGUUUUUUUUCCUCUCUCUAUUUCAAACCAUGACUUGUCAAUUGCUCAAGCACUGCUGUGUCACACACUCUAAACCAUGACCAUGGUGUGUUAGCUUUUCAGGCAAUGUCGUGUCACACACUCUAAACAUGACCAUGGCGUGUCACCAACUCUGAACUCUGGCUUGUCACAGAUUCCAUCCAUGGUGUGUCACUAACUCUUAACUCUAGAGUCUCACAGAUUCAAUCCAUGGCGUCUCACCAACUCUGAAAGCUGGCAUGUCACAGAUUCCUUCAAUGCCGUGUCACCAACUCUUAAUUUGGAGUGUCACAGAUUCCCUCCAUGGCAUCUCACCAACUCUAAACGCUGCCAUGUCACACAUUCUCACCAUGGCAUGUCACCAACUCUAAACUCUGGCGUAUCACAGAUUCCCUCUAUGGCGUCUCACCAACUCUGAGCGGUGCAGUGUCACAUAUUCCCAACAUGACGUUUCACAAACUCUAAACCCUGCCCUGCGACAACCAUCUAACAUAUGGCCUGCUAUAGCAGGACCAUUUCCUACUUUGGAUUCACAUCUUUCUCUUUUUAAUUCACCACCGUAUCAAGGAUUUCUAGUUUCAUAUCAUUAGCCAAGCUUUCCAUUCAUGACAACCGGUUCCUCGUUCGAUUUAAUAUCUCUCUUCUCCUAUUAUCUGAAUGUCAUGUCUCAAAUCUCUGAAAACCCAUCUCAUGCAACAUUAUUUUGUUUUGCACAACCUUCGAAAAAAUUUUUGGGUAUUUUGCACAACCAAUCUUUGCAUAUUUUUUUUCUCCCAUUUUUCGCCUGUUUGAGAGUGUACGCUAACGAAGAAGACUCAUUAAGGGCAUUUUUGUCCCAAAAUCUUUUUUGGUGGUUAAAAACUGUUAAAAGUAGCCCGACGGUUAUUUACAAAAACACGUUAUUUAUAAGGGCUAAAAAACAAAUUCCCUUUUUUUUCUCUUUGGUUUUGAACUACAAACAGAAUUCAAUAAUUGAUGAAGCUUUUUGUUUAUUGAGAUAUGAAGAAAAUCAAAGGAAGAAAAACGAAGUAGAAGAUGGAUUUCUCCAGAAAAGCUUGGGGUUUGGGUGAAGCUUAAUUCAGCUUUCAUAGUCACCCGAACCAGCAAUUUGCCAUGACAGUUCGCAACAGUAUCAAUCACGUGACAAACAUAAAGAAAAUUCACUGUUUCUUUUUCUCUAUUUGCAUGAUUAUGUUUGGACAAAAUUUUGAAACCUAUAAAAGGAUUCCAUCACUCAAACAUAAAAUGAUGGCUCAAAGUUAACAGUGCGUUCCCUAUACAAAAAGGAUUAAUCUUCCCAACUUUAAAAAACUACUAGGAUUACACUAUAACCAUGAUCCAAACAUCCUAAAUUACAAAAGCUGAACAAGCAAUCCACUAAAAUCUAGAUAAUAUUCAGCUCUUGAACUGCAACUAGGCCUUCAAACGCCAUUAAAUCAGCCACCCUAAUUCCACCAUUCCUUCUGUAAGAUGUGAUGAAUACUUCUCCAUGCUCAACUUUCGUAAACAUAUAUAAAUAGCUUGAGUUCUAAAUUGUUCAGGCUCCCAGCUUCUAGGUGUUGGGAGUGUUUGCCAUCCACUUAAGCUUGUGCUUGCUAGGUUUGGUCUUUCUGGGGCUCUUCUCUCUUGUCCCUAGUUUUCAACUUAACCAAUAGCUGGAUCAAGCACCGCAUUAUUAAAGGCGCAGCAAUCAAGGCGAACUGAACGUUUCUACAUCCGGAGUAACAGCAAUGACCGCAGAUCCGUAAGUUGUAAUUAUUAAAAUGCUAGCAACCCUUACUUUUAACUCAAAAGGAAAUUUAUGUGUGAGUGACAUAAUGACAAGCAUGGCUGCAGAAACGGCUAGGGUGUUUGAUGUCAAGAAAAUGUAAUAGGCCACUGUUUCAUAUGCAUAGACAGAUGAUAGCAAUGCUUGUUGUAUUGUCCUCCUUGGUUUCUUGCCAUACACCGCCAAAGGGGUUAACCCCAGCUUGGAAGGUCAUGGCAGCUAUUAGGGUGGCAACUACCAAGAGAGCGUUGUGGGUGUCGGCUCUAUUCUUCUCCUUAUCCUUCUUUUUGAACUUUCCUUGUACUGAAAAUAACGACACUAGUCCCUAAAAGUAAUCCCAACCAUUGUUUUCUCUUUGGUUAUGACCUACAAACAGAAUUCAAGAAUUGAUGAAGCUCUAUGGGGAUUGAAGAAAAAAAAGGUAGUAGAUGGAUUUCUCCAGAAAAGCUUUGGGUUUGGGUGAGUCUUGAUUCAGCUUUUAUAGCAAGCAAUUUACCAUAACAGUUGGCAACAAUUUCAAUCUUGUGACAAACGUGAAGUCAGAAGCGGAGGGAGGUAGGGCCCCAGGGGCGGCCUAAUAAGUUCAAAGGUCUAAAGUAAAAUAUUCAAAUGAGGCUUUUUUUAUUGAAAUUAAAAAAAUUAUUAAAAUUUUAUCCUUCUAACUUUUGGAGAUGUAAAAUUUUUAAUUAAACUUUUAUAAUCAAGUUAUUCUAAUAUAUCUUUUUCAAUUGAUAAUAUAGUCAAUCCAAUCUUUCUUGAGACAUUGUUGAUCUUAAAUAAGAUUUUAUUAAUUUUAGUUUUGAAAAAUUUCUCCUGAAGCAUCAUUUACUCGAAUUAUUAACAUUAUUUUAAAAAUAUUGAACUAUUAUAAUUAUCUUAUAUUUUUUAAAUGGCUAAUAUAAAAUCAACAAUCAAAAUUUUUAAUUCAAAUAAAUCAACUAUAACAUAAAAUAAAAUAAUAUAACAAUAUAAUAUAAAUCUAAAUUAAAGUAAAAAAAUCUGUAAAUAUUAGAACAAUAGUACCUAAUUAUUGAAUGCUUAUUCCAAAUCGUAAAUGAGUUUCACAACUUUAUGAAGAUAAUAAAAGAACGGACUUCUAGUAUAUUUUUUGGAGAAAAAUUGAAGUUAAAGGAAGAAAGAACAAAUGAGAAAGGAAGAAAGAACAAAUGAGAAAGGAAGAUUUUAAAAAUAGAUAUUAUACAUUGAAAAAAAUAAUUAGUUUUAUAUAUAGAAAAAAAAUAACUGUUGGAAAUCAUUAAAUAUAUUGAUUGGAAAUAACGGAAAUAAGUGCAUGUUUGGCCUAAAUUUUUUUUAGCUUAUCUACCUCUAAAAGUAAAAGUCAGGCCAAACAUGAUUUUUUGAUAAGCUCUUAAAAAAAUAAUUUUUUUUAAAAAUAAAAUUUUUAAAAAAAGACCUUAAAAAAAAGCUCCAAUGAGGAGCUUUUUCUUCUUUUCUUUUAAAAAUAUAAGAGAAUUUUUAUUUUUGUUCCAAAAAUAUCCUCAUUUAUUAAAAAUAAUUACAAUAUUAUCCUCUAAAAAAAAGAAAUACAUUCUAUGAUAAUUUUAACAAAAAUUAUAACUUAUAAAAGGAAAUUUACUAAACAACUUUAGCUUAAUUUUAAAAACUAUUAUUUUUCAUAAGAGCUUCAUAAUAACUUUUAAGUUUGAAAAAAGCCAAGCUAAACAGACUCUAAAUAAGAAAAAAUAUAGCUGUUGGAAAUGAUUAAAUGCAUGUAACUGUUAGUUUAUUGAAAAUAAAAGAAUAUAGUUGAGAAUUAAUAAUAUUCUAAAAAUAAAAAAAUAAUAGAAAAUUAAGAUUUAUUAAGCAUAUAAUUAAAAAAAUAAAAGAACAAAUAAUUUGAUGAAUUAUUUUUUAUUUUUUUAUUUUUUUAUUUAAUUAAUUAUGUUAUAAUUAUUAUAAAAUUAUAAUUUGUUUUUAAAAUUGAAGCCUCUCCAAAUUGAGGCCUAAAGCCCUUGCUUGGGUGGCUUCACCCUAGGGCAGACCCUGUAGGGCCCCCGUGCCCCCCUACCCCCUUUCUAAAUUUAAAAAAUUUAUAAAUAUUUUAAAAAUUUUAAACGCUUAUAUUAAUUUUUGAAAUAAGCAAUUUCUUAAAAAUAUAAAUACUAUUAACAGAAAUUAAAAAAAGAUUACCAUUUUAUUUUUUGUUAAUUUAAAAAAUUAUUAUUAUAUUCUAAAAAUUAAAUAAAAGAAAGGAUAAAAGCAUCGAUCGAGGCUCCCUAAGGGAGAAUCAAGGUCCCUAAGGGAGCUUCGGUGCUCCCCAUCUUGAGAGGUUUUUUUUUUUUAAUUAAUAAAAAAAUAAUAAAAUUAUAUAAAGUAAUUUUUAAAAUUAAUUAAGAGUAAAAUUUUCUUUUUACUCUUAUUACGUCAGCAAGUUGACGAAAAUACUAACGGUUAACUAACGGUUGGACUUAUGUGUCAAAUAGAAAAUAUUUUUUUGCUGAGUGUCCAUUUUGAAAACUAAUAGAUUUUCAUGUAAUUUCGAUUAAAACUUAGGUGGAUAAAGAUAUUUUAUCUAAUAUUUUUUAUUUUGUUUUAAAUAUUUAUAAUUUUAAAUUUAAAAAAUUUAAAAAUACUAGCAAUGACUCAAAGCAUCGAAGAAAGCAAAAAAGAAUUUUAUUCAUUGUGCACUGAAAUUAGGGUUAUCAAUAGAUAGGAUAACUGCUAAUUUUGAGAUACUUGAAUCUCAAUUUUAUAAGAAAUAAAGUAUUUGAAUCUUAUUAAUUACCCAAGUAUUUUUAAAAAUUACUACCUUAACCCUAACACUAAUACAUCACACUUAUCUUAUAAAUAUCCUAAGGGAUUUUUUUUAAACCCUUAUAAAUAACGUGUUUUUGUAAAUAACCGCCAGGAUACUUUUAACUAUUUUUAGCCAUCAAAAAAGAUUUUGGGAUAAAAAUGCCCUUAAUGAGCCGUCUUCGUUAGCGUACACUCUCAAACAGGCGAAAAAUGGGAGAAAAAAAAAUAAAUAUGCAAAGAUUGGUUGUGCAAAAUACCCAAAUUUUGUUUUCGAAGGUUGUGCAAAACAAAAUAAUGUUGCAUGAGAUGGGUUUUCAAAAAUUAGGGACAUGGUAUUCAGAUAAUAGGAGAAGAGAGAUAUUAAAUCGAACGAGGAACAGGUCGUCAUGAAUGGAAAGCUUGGCUAAUGAUGUGAAACCAGAAAUCCUUGAUACGGUGGUGAAUUGAAAGGAGAAAGAUGUGAAUCCAAAGCAGGAAAUGGCCCCGCUAUAGCAGGCCAUAUGUUAGAUGGUUAUCGCAGGGCAGGGUUUAGAGUUUGUGAAACGUCAUGUUGAGAAUGUGUGAGACGGCACCGCUCAGAGUUGGUGAGACGCCAUGGAGGGAAUCUGUAAGACGCCAAAGUUAAGAGUUGGUGACACGCCAUGGUGGGAAUGUGUGACACGGCAACGUUGAGAGUUGGUGAGACGCCAUGGAGGGAAUCUGUGACACGCCAAAUUAAGAGUUGGUGACACGACACGGAGGGAAUCUGUGACACGCCAGCGUUCAGGGUUGGUGAGACUCCAUGGAUUGAAUCUGUUAGACGUUAGAGUUCAGAGUUGGUGACACGCCAUGGUUUGAAAUAGAGAGAGAAAAAAAAACAGACAGUUAACGUGGUAAUCCUUUGGACUUUCACUGUAUCAAUUUCCCUUUUUCAGAAUAAAGAAUGUCAUUUUUCAUUUUAAAUAGUUAUUAUUUAGAAUUCGUAACGUUUGUGUGAUUCAUUUCUCAUUCCCACCGGUACCGAAGUGUUCGAGAAGGCUCUUUGCAAGCGGAACGAAACCACAGCACCAGCAAAAAUGUCGACCAUGAAUGAAGAGGUUAGUGGGUCUCAAAUUCGUAAUAUUCCUGUGUUUGUUAAUUUUUUGGUUUUUUUCUGGGUCUGUUUGAUAUGUUUGAGUUUUUGGUUUUGUUUUGCAAAUGUUUAGACUGUGUUUUCUUACUGGUUUGAUGGUUGUUGUGGUUAAGCUGCAGUGGUUUUAGCGGUUUUGGGUGUUUACCGUGUGACGCCAUUGUUAUUAUAGUUAGUUAUUAGCGUGUGACAGCAUUUUACUUGAUAUGCAUAGUGUGUGACAGCAUUUUACUUGAUAUGCAUGUCGUGUCACAAAAUUUAACUUAUUAUGCAUGGCGUUUGACAGUAUUUUACUUGAUAUGCAUGUCGUGUCAUAGAAUUUUACUUGAUAUGCAUCUCGUGUCAUAGAAUUUUACUUGUUAUGCAUGACGUUUGACAACAUUUUACUUGUUAUGCAUGGCGUUUGACAGCAUUUUACUUGAUAUACAUGACGUGUCAUAACCUUUAACUUGAUAUGCAUGGCAUGUCACAACGUUUAACUUGUUAUGCAUGGCGUAUCAUAACAUUUUACUCGUUAUACAUGGCGUGUCACAACAUUUUGAUUGCAAUGCAUGGCGUGUCACAACAUUUAUUCUUUAUUUAUGUCUUCAGUGUACCUUGUUGCACAUGACUGCUUAACUCACUGGUGUAUGUGUGCCAUAUUUUACAGAUCCAGCACAGACAGUAUGAGGAUCUUGACAGUUUGCUGAUCGUGUCGAAGGAGAAGUGGGCGUUCAAUGUCUCAAUUAUUACUCACUGUAAGUGGUCGCAGCUGCAUUACAUCAUAAAGACUCUCUAACAAAAUGGGGAGUAUGAUCUAGUUAAGCGUACCUGCUUCGGAAUGCUCUUGGACAUCUAUCCACAGGGGUACUUUUACGUCGGUCUCUUGCACAGCAUCAUGAUUCGUCGGAUCAUUGAGAGGCAGUCAAUGGACCACGAGCUAUGGUUUGCCAUUGGCAAGAGCAAGGCGCAGCUAUCAAAGUAAGAGUUCUGCCUCAUCACUGGGCUGAAGUUUGGUCCAAUGCCUGAUGUGUCAGACGACCGUACAAGGUAGUUACGGAUGGAAUUCAUGCAAGAUACUAGAACGGGAAAGGCAGCGUUAAGCUGCAGGCUUUGCUUGAUACCUUUCGCGAGGGCAACUUUCAGCGACCAAGAUGGCACUCAUCUUGAUCGCGAAUAACAUUUUAUUUGGUAAAGACUAACGUAGAUGGGUGACGCCUUGGUUGCUGUCAUUGGUGGAUGACAUCGACGCUUGGAAUGUCUUCCUAUGGGGGCACUAUGUUUGGAAGCUGACCUUGGACUACCUUUUGAAGGGGUUCGAAGUUCCUGACUUGAGCGUGCUAAAGGAAACUCGGUUACACUACAACAUUUACGGAUUCGCAUGGGUGAUAUAGGUACUAAAACAUAACAUUUUUCAGUUUCUUUUUGGACAAAAAAUUUAUGGGUGCAGUCGUUUAUAAUUGACGGUCUGAUAAGGGUUACAUUUGACAUGCGGUUCUGGGCAAUGGAGGCAAUUUCGGCCCUCCGAAAAAUAGUUACCCCCUCUGGUUCGAAGGACAACGUCCACCCAUGAAUGUGCAGAUGAGAUUGCAAUCAGAAGCCAAAAGACUUCUACAAGACAAUUCAGAAGUUAGAGUCAUCUGACAAAGUGAGUAAACAGCUGCUAAUUUUUGCGUUAUAUUUGUAAAAUAAUUUUCCCUAUUCGAUAAUGACAACAUUCUAUUUGUUUAUUUAUAGUUGUGGGCACUGGAGACUUUGGAACCCACCACAGAUAAGGCCCUCUGGGAGUAUUUUGAGGACCUUGAUGUCCCGUUAUCGGAGGGUAAUGAGUACGUGCCAAUAGGGCAUAUGGAGGAUCGGUCAGAUUGGGGCUUAGGUGCGAGGCAAAAAAAGAGAAGAUUGAAGGAGAAAAGAGCCUCUGGUGGCACGAAGCGGAUGCGCACAGUCGCUGCUUUAGUUGAUGAGUUGAUGGAUGAAGGGGACGACCAUGGUCAAGGCAAUGAACAGCUGGUAAAGACAAUUGUAACAGUUUUGUUUCUCCAAUUCCAUUUGUGAUUAUCGAAUAACAUUUCUAUGUUUGCAGCUGGACCAUGGGCCGGUAACUCCAGAACCACCCACCGGUCCUCCUCAGAUGCAGAGUGGAAACUACCCGUCGAUAAGAUCGAUUCUAACAGUUUGUAUUCUACAUUCCCACAUAUGUUUAUAGAGUAACACAGUAAUUUAUGUAAUUACAGUUUACGAAAACGAGGACAGGUCCUCAAGCACCAAUCAGUCCAGCCCAAUCGCAGACAGCUAACGAGCAGGCGGUAAGGAUAUUAAAGUUGUAACGGUUAAUGUUCAACAAUUCCAAACAUGAUUAUUGAAUAACACAGUUAUAUAUGUAAUUGCAGUUUACGGAAGCGAUGACAGGUCCUGAAGCACCGAUCAGUCCGGCUCCACCGCAAACUACUAAUGAACCGACGGUAAAGAUAUUAAAGUUGUAACAGUUAAUGUUCAACAAUUUCAUACAUGAUUAUUGAAUAACACAGUUAAAUAUGUAAUUACAGUAUGCGAAAGUGACGACAGGUCUUGAAGCACCGAUCGGUCCGACUCCACCGCAGAUUGCUAUUCAUGGUGUGUCACAACGUUUGAUUUUGAUAUGCAUGGCGUGUCAAAACAUUUUGCUUAUUAUCCUUGGCGUGUCACCAAGUUUAUCUUGUUAUGCAUGGCGUGUCAGAACAUUUUGCUUGUUAUCCUUGGCGUGUCACCAAGUUUAUCUUGUUAUGCAUGGCGUGUCAGAACAUUUUGCUUGUUAUCCUUGGCGUGUCACCAAGUUUAUCUUGUUAUGCAUGGCGUGUCACAACAUUUUAAUUGUUUUGCAUGACGUGUCACGACAUUUUCCUCGUUAUCCUUGGCGUGUCACCAAGUUUAUCUUGUUAUGCAUGACGUGUUACAACCUUUUAUAAUUUAUGGGUUGUGGUAUUUUAUGAGCUCCCUAAUGAUUUUUUCAAUUUUGUAGGGCGAUCCAUCUCACAGUGCUGGUCUGGAGCACGAUGAUGCUGAUAAUGGAUAGUAUCAUGAACCUGGUGUUGACAUUGACAAUGACGUUCUUGGUGCUGAUGGAGAGCACGUAACUCAUGUAGAUGACGUUGUCGAAGAAGCUGUGGUAGUGGAUGUCACCCUUCAGUCAGAUGAUGUUGAAAGAGAGCAUCUUCCUCCGGCCGAAGCAUUCGUCAACACAGCAGCAGGAGCUAUGGUUUUUUAUCGUGAGAGCACUCUUGAUGUAGUUGAGAUACGGUCGUCAUCACCAAAGUCAUCUGCUGUCCAUCAUGGUGCAACAGAAAUUUCAGACCCAACUAAGCGGCAUGACUGAAAAUGGCGAGCAAAUACAUGGCAAACCCAUUCGUCGACCCCUUAGUGACCCGUCUAGAUGUGAGGGAUAAAAUCGUAGAAGACUACGAAGCUUUCAAGAAAGAGGAGUCUGCGACGUAAGCUCGUAAAUAAAAUUGCAAAUAUUAUUUUUUAAUGAAACAGUUAUCCACCAAGACUUAUGAAAUUAAUUAUGUUACAUAUGCAGGCGUAAUGUCGGCAUCUUAGGGGAUCAAUGGGCUGACUUUUUCAUAACCUUAGAGGAUCCCAAUGAGGAAAUGACAAGUGAACAUAUCUACGCAUGCCUCAGCCUACUCUGCAAGCGAAUGACAGGGCCGAAGUCAAAGCUAUACAUUACCCGUGCAUGCAUGGUUGACACGAUAUUCUUCGUAAGUUUAUUUGAAAAUUGUUAAAUUCUACAAAUACUAAGUUUUUGAUUGCAUGAAGUGUAAGCUAAUGUUUACAUCUUUCACAGGACACCAUUCGUAUGCUACACACCGAAUUUCCAACAGAAGAUGCCCGAGCCAAAAUGCAAAUUCCAGAUGAGUUGCGGGGCUAUGUGGAGGGUGAAAGGCCAACGUACGCCAAAAAAUGGGAAGAUGUUGAUUUCAUUCUCGCGCCUUGCAACGUUGGUGGGCAUUGGGUGGUUGCGAAGAUCGACUUGGUGCGGUGGACGAUCAAGGUCGUGGACUCAACAAUAACUUCAGAUGCUAAGGAUAACGGAGUUCAUGCGGGUCAGAUGACACCCUUGACGACAAUGAUGUCAUUCAUUUGACACUCAGCCAGUUAUUUCAACAACAUACGUCAGAAAAGAUGGGAUUUGACGCUGAUGCUAUUAGAUAUUCAUUUGCCAAAAGCUAAAGUGCAUCGACAGAAUGAUAGUGUCAGCUGCGAUAUGUUCAUGAUAGGGUACAUCGAGCAUAUUUUGCAAUAAAAAAAGAUCGAAAUUAAGUAGAAUAUGAUUGCAAAAAUGCGUCGGCAAUAUGCUCUGAAAAUUUUUUUCAACAGUUGUGAGAGCAAACCCUGAACAUAUAGGCCCUUGUCUGUACAAUUUUUUUGGUACACAUAAAUUUUUUUAUACAAUUCAUUUUAUACACAUUUUUUGUAUACACAAUUUAUUGUAUACAAUUCAUUGUAAACAAAUAUAAUCCUUUAUGUAUACACAAUAUACUUUGUACAAUUAUUUGAUACACAAUUAAUUUUUUUGCCUAUACACAAUUAAUUUGAUACCAAGAAUUUUUUUCCUUUUCUAUAUACAAUAUAUUUAAUUUCAUACACAGUCGAAAAAAGUCAACGUGUGACGCCUUAAACAUGAUACCAGUCAGCGUGUCCCAACAUACAUCUACUUGCACUCAGUGUGUCACCCCAAAUUUCUGCAAUAAGUCAGCGUGUGACGUCGCUAAUCCACUAACACUCGGCAUGUCAACCGAGUAAUCUGCUUCCACUCAGUGUGUCAGAACAAUUGGGCCAUGGCGUGUUAUGCCAUAAAUCUCCAGAUACUCAACGUGUGACACCAUUAAUCUGCUUUUAGUCGACGUGUCAUAAGAAUUGGGCCGUCGCGUGUCACCCCAGUUUGGCAUUAAUUAAUUUUCAGGUUCGUCGUAUUUCUCUUCCAAGCACACCGGAUGCACUAACCCAACAUUACAUUGAUUAACAUUGAAUAUAUAGAUUUUUCCAUCCAUCUAAUUACUUCUAGCAUGAAAUUGUUCUGUAUCCAUCCUCCUUUUUUUUUCCAAUUAUUUUCAGGCCAAAAUUCUAUCCUGCCAUUAUAAAAUCGUACGUCUAAAUUUACACACCAGAACUUGUUAUGCAUGACGGGUCAGAACAAUUUAAUUGUUAUGCAUGGCGUGUUAUAACAUUUAACUUGUUAUGCAUGGCAUGUCACAACCUUUUUACUUGUUAUGCAUGGCGUGUCAGAACAUGUUGUUCAUUAUCCUUGGCGUGUCACUAAGUUUAUCUUGUUAUGCAUGGCGUGUCACAACCUUUUACUUGUUAUGCAUGGUGUGUCAAAACAUUUUGCUCGUUAUCCUUGACGUGUCACCAAGUUUAUCUUGUUAUGCAUGGCAUGUCACAACAUUUUACUUGUUAUGCAUGGCGUGUCAUUUCAUUUUUCUUGUUAUAAAUGGCGUAUUACAAUAUUUUAUUUGAUAUGCACGAUGUGUCACAACAUUUUACUUGUUAUGCAUGACGUGUCUCACAUUUAUUCCUUAUUUAUUUCUUCUAUAUACCUUGUUGCACAUUAUGGCUUAACUCACUGGUGCAUCUGUACCAUGUUUUGUAGAUCCAACGCAUAUAAUAUGAAGAUUUUGACAUUUUGUCUGCUCGGUCAUUCUAUGAGGCCCUUUUAGUUACGGACUUUGUUGCCAAACAUUUCAGGCAGAUAAGCAAAUACAUGGCUCCUGUCUGAUGGAGAUUGUAAUCGGAAACAUUUUUACGAACAAUGUAAGAAUGUACUUUAACACGAUCUUGAUCAGACAGAGGCCUUGACAUGCUUAUCUGCCUGAAAUGUUUGGCAACAAAGUCCGUAACUAAAAGUGCAUCAUAAAAUGAUCAAGCAAACAAAUCCGUAAAGCAAAACGAAUUCAAUUACAAUUUUCAGACACAUUUAGUUAGGCGGUCAAGCUGUCUUCAUUCACAACACACCUUAUAUUUUCAGAUAUUGUCCUUCAUAUUGGACAGUUGUUGCGUGAGUGACCAGUUUGUCUACAACUUGUACAUGUUUUGGGUCGGUGUAGUCGUGGAGUCGCUGAUUGACUUAGAGAUGGUGCUAGAUUUGUGGAUGGAACUGCAAAUGGGUAUGGGUAAUUUUGUCUGUUAUGCCCGUACCUCUUGUAUUGUGAACAUCUUCGUGCUCGACUACCUUCACUAGCUGAUGAAAUCCUUCUCCUCCUAGGUCUUCCUGUUUGACCUCGCCAAGGUGGGGGCAAGACUACAAUUUGUUUCACAUGAGGGGGGAUGUCCCACUCACUAGGAUGCCCUACCGACCUAAUGGAUCCUGAAUAACCCUUCACGAAAACGGUUGUCUUGUAGUAGCCAGCGCAUAAUUCAAUGGCUUCAUGAUUGUAUUUACUGAAAAACAUUAACAACUCAAUCUUCAAGCACAAUGUAAAUGCUAUGUCAAUUACGGUUCAAAUAAGAAAUAAAGAUAUUCUGACCUUAUUGCUGCAAUGGCAUGGCUGCAUGGUAGUAAAUCUGUUUGGAACUCACAACAUGAACACGUCUUCCUAGACAGGUUUACAAGUCCGUCCAUCUUCCCGUCUUUAACUUCGAACUCCACUCUAUUGAUAGGCUUAACUAAAAAGCGAUGUGCAUCAUUGAACCUUUUACUCAACUGAUUGGCAACCCAAGGGCUGAGGGGCGUGGUCACCUUGAUGGCCUCCUCAUACCAUUCAUGGAACCAACGCUAGAAUAUGUCUCUGAUGAACUCGAUCAAAAUAGUGAUUGGCAUUUGUCUUGCAUGCUUCAAGCAUGAGUUAACAUAUUCCGCAAUGUUGGAUGUCAUCAUUUGGUAUCGUCUUGCCGGUGAAAAUGCACGUGCCCAUUUCUCAUGCCCUAUUCUUAUAAGGUCCGCGUGGGCUCCCAAGUGAAUCUGCUGUAUCUAGUUCAUAUGCUUGUUGAAAUCGGCCACCUUAUAGCAAUCUCGAGCAAGGGUGAAAAGCAUACAAACAUCGUCGCUCUUGAACUUGUUUUUAAAGUUUUUUUUCAAGUGGUAAUCGCAUAAACCAUGGUGCGCUUCUGGGAAUGCAUUUUGGAUUGUUUUCUUAAUGCCGAGAUGCUGAUCAGAAAUGAACAUAGUGUUUUCAAGACAACCAACCGCAUCACGCAGCUUUCUAAGAAACCACGUCCACGAGUCUUCGUCCUCAAUAUGGCCGAUGCCAAACGCAAUUGGAUAUACGCACUCGUUCGCAUCUUUGCAUACAGCGACAAACAGAACACCUUUGAACCUACCUUUCAGAUGUGUCGCAUCAAUUGCAAUCGUAGGACGCAUUACAUCCCUAAACCCCCGAAUACAAGCCUCGUAUGACCAUAAACAAUAUUUGAAUCUUUUUUCCUCAUCAGUAGCCACUGCAGUCACUAUGCCAGGAUUUUUUUGUUCUACCAUAUAAAAAUACGAUGGUAGUAGCUGAAAUGACUCCUCCGAUGGAUCGAAAACAAGCCUCUCCGCAUACUCUUUCACUUGCCAAGCCUUACCAUACAAGCAUUCCAAUCCCCACUGAACCCUCAUAUCACAAAUUAUGUCUUUAGGUCUCAAUGCUACUCCAUUAGCCCGAAUCUUGUGUGACAUAAGUUCACUAAUCAUCUUCGCACUCGUAGUUGGAAACCACCCUUGCAAACCAUCAACGGUACAGGUGUGUACUUUGUGGAAUUUUUGAACUUUCAAAUAUUCUCCUCUAUCAAGUAACUUCGUUGCACGAACACUGAACUUGCAUGCCUUAUCCUUGCAACCAACCUCAUAACGAGCUUUACAUGACCUUUUUACUCUUAUCGCAAACUUCUCUUUUAUAGCCAACAUGUUCAAAGCUCAUUUCAACUCAGUCUUUGACGAAAACAUUCUUCCUUUGUAUAAGCGAUCUUCGGCACAUGUCGACUCCUCAGUGGUAAUUGUUUGGAAGGAGAACCUUUCUGCACCUGCAAUUACCCACGUACGAGAUAUCCUUGCAUUUCCCCUUUCCUGAUCACUGUCAUCGAGCAAUGUAUCAAGGGAAUGAAUCUCGUUCUCACCAGCAAUAGGGUUAUUGUAUAUGGGGUCAUCACACUGAACAUCUCAUACAUCAACACCUCCAACAGGUUUCGUUUCACCUUCAACAUUAUUACAAAUUGGAAUGUCACUGUCAUAAAGGCAGUCAUCGUCUGAACUGUCAUCUUGUGAUUGUUCAAGCCCAUCAUCUGAAAUGUGAUCAAAUCUAUCUUCACCGGUAGCGAACAAAUCCUCAUUUCCCUCAUCAAAUGCAGUAUUAUACUCCAGCGUCGUAAUGUCACCCUCCAACCUCACAUUGUUGUCCUCAACUGUCGUAUUCUCAUUUGACAAUGGCAUUACACAUUUUACAGUUUCACCCGAUCGUUGCAUUUUUUCAAGAGAAGCAAGAAAUUGGUUUGAUGCACAUCCUAAUCGAAAUUGUGCAGCCAACUAUUUUGUGAAUGUCGUCUGUCUACUGGGGCUGCACAAACUCUUGUGCGUACCUCAAUUGCCAUUGUUGUGGGUUACGGACUGAAUGUUGUGGUAUACGUGAAGCAUUGUAAAUCUCAUUUUGAUUGAGCUGAUUACCAUGUUGUCCAACUUCUCCAUGUGACAAGACAUUUGUUUGGCGUCCCUUAAUGCUGACAUACACAACCGAAACAUUUCUUUGUUCUAGCAAAAUUAAUGCAACAUCCUCAUCGUCCUUGAUAAUUGGCCGUAAUAGCUCUCCGGGUGUACUGAUCAAUGCAUGUAACUCAAUCUCGUCAAUUUUUGAGUUUACCCUAACAACAUCUUCAACCAGCUUCAUCAAGCCCACAAACGACAAAUCACUCCUAACCCCCCGCAUUCGUGACUCACCACCCUUCUAAAUGCCAUCCACCCACUAACCACCGUGUUUUAUCACAAGUCGCACAAUUGAAACCCCACUGAAUUUAAAAAAAAAUUGUCAAUCAUUUUACACAAUACAUGUCGUGAUAAAAAAUUUAUCAGUCGUGUUGUUACACGCCAUGCAAAUAACGUAAAAUGUUGUAACACGCCAUGCAUAUCAAGUCAAAUGUCGUGACACGCCAUGAAUCAGUAUCGUUACAUGCCAUGCAUCACUGUUGUGACACUACAAUCACUGUAAUUACUAACUGGUUACACCAACAUCCGUAACACGUUAAAAACCUAAAAAACCAGUUAACCCACGACACACCAGGAACAACCAUGACACGUCAAAAACCUAUAAAUUCAGUUAACCCACCACACCCUAAGAACAACCGUGACACGCUAACAACCCAAAUAACUAGUUAACCCACAACACGCCAGUAACAACCGUGACACGCUAAAAUAACAGUUCACUUAUGUUAUAGAUGCAUGGCGUGUAACAAUUCUGGGCAAUGUUUCUAAUCCAUCUUAUCAUUUACACUAAAUGUUUCAGAAAUUUAAGUGUGUUGCAGAAAUAAACCCAAUAACAGGUACCUUGAUGUCAUCUCUACUAUAGGGUGUGUUAAUCUACGACAAUGUCGUCAGAUACCGAGAGAUAGACCACAGCCCGAUGACAAUGGUGCUCAACAGAGAGUUGACAGAGCUCAUACAGUUCAGAGAUCUGAGAGAGCUGACAACGAUGGUGCUCAACAGAGACUUGCCAGAGUUGAGACAGAGAAAGAUGAUCGAGCCCAAACAGCUGCGCGUAUUUAUUUUUAAUGUUUUUCAUUUUCUCUCUGGCAGGAGGCAGAUGGCUCAAACAGCUGAGCAUUUAUUUGAAAUGAUGUUUUUAAGGGCAUUUUGGUCUACUCAUGUUUAUUUUUGGGUAGAAACAGACAACUUUAUAUGGGCGGUUAUUUAUGAAAUCACCUUAUCACGAGGUCCUUCUCUCACAAUUUUCUCAUUAUCCUAACUCGUUUAAAAACUCGAUUAUGUAAAAAAAUUAUUAAAAUGCUCUUCAUGGGUACCAGCACUCGAGUAUUUGACUCAUUGGUUGGUGCAUUAUCCCUCUAUUUAGAGAGUUGAGUUUGAAUUCCCCUUCCCUCAAUUAUAAAAAAAAAAUGCUAUUCAUGGGUAUCCCAUCACUCGAAUCCAAAUCCGUACUUAUAUCUAUAUACAAUAAUAUUUCUCCCACAUGUUUCAUAUAAUUUACUAAUUAUUAAAUUAAUAAAAACACACAAAUAAUAAAAUUUAAAUUUAAAUAAUUAAAAACAAAUAUCUCAAAUAUAAUUAAUAAUUUUAUAAGUUAUAAGUUUUGUAAUGUUAAUAAAAAAUAGAAACUAAAUAUGUUUAUAUUUAAAGUGUAUACAUACUAAAAGUAUUUUAGUAUAUAUAUAAUGGUAAGUAUAUUUCUUAUAAAUAAACCUAAUGUAUAAAAAGUAUAUAUAUUAAAAGACAUUACAAGUUAAUAAAUAAUCUAAGUUUCAUUAAUUAAUUUAAUUAAUUAUAUGAAUUUGUCCUUAAUUACAUAAAAUUAAAAAAAUAACUAAGUUUCAAAUCUCACAACUUUUCUUUAGAUUUAUAUAUUAUAAGUGUAUAUAAACAAAUGUAUAUAUAUUGUAAUUAAUAAUUUUAUAAUUUAUAUAUUUUUGUAAUGUUAACACAAAAUAGAGAGUAAAUAUGUUUAUAUUUAAAGUACAUACAUAUAUACUAAAAGUAUUUUAAUAUAUAUAACAGUAAUUAUAUUCCUUAUAAAUGAACUUAAUAUAUAUAAAGUAUAUAUAUUAAAAGACAUUAUAUGUUAAUUAAUAAUUAUAGUUUCAUGAAUUAAUUUAAUUAAUUAUAUAAGUUUGUCCUGAAUUACAGGAAAUUAAAAAAAAUAGCUAGGUUUUAAAACUAUUCAAAUUUCACAAUUUCUCUUUAGAUUUAUAUAUUAUAAGUAUAUAGAAAUAAAGGUAUGUAUAUUAUAAUUAAUAAUUUUAUAAAUUAUAAUUUUUUUAAUAUUAACACAAAAUAGAAAAUAAAUAUGUUUGUAUUUAAAAUAUAUAUUAAAAUAUUUUAAUAUAUAUAAUAGUAAUUAUAUUUCUUAUAAAUUAACAUAAUAUAUAAACUAUAUAUAUUAAAAGAUAUUACAAGUUAAUUAAUAAUCAUAUUUUUAAAAUGGCUAAAGGAACAUUGUUCGUACAUUGCAGUCUGGCUAUCAAAAGUCUCAUUGUCGAUCAAUUUCUGAAAUUUCUUUUGGUUCAUGAUUGUGCUUUUUUUAAUGGUCAGGAAAAUUCUAAAUACCCUGUACCAUCUGAUAAUGCAUGUGAAUAUACAGCUUGAACUUGAAACCCUUGGAAUAUAUCAGAUAAAAACAAUAUAAAAACUAGCAUUAAAAGUCUGACAGUGGGAGUUUCCUUUUCAUUGAUGCCCCAUUUUUCCCCCCAAUUCUGUUAAGGGUGAUACUUUUGGUUGAUACCUGCUCUUAUCCACCUUAAGAUUCUCACAAAAACUUUUCUUUUUUCUUUUGACGUGCCACUAAAAGUGCAUAGGUGACGAUUGUGUUCAUAAUUGGGCAGCAUUUCGGGCUGGAACAAAGAAUGAAAACAUUGAGUGGUGCAUAGAGCCCCUGGCCUGGGAUUUAGUGAUACUUACAAAGUAGGUGAGUUGACAACACUAAUUUGUACACAAAGAAAUGCUGUUUUUUUGCUGGUGGUUCAUUUGGGUACAGAGAUGGGUCAUAACAGAUUGCUCUAUUUGACAGUUGUCUUUAUUCUUUUGGAUGGGGACAUGGAACAUGUGCAUGCAGUCACAAGCAACUACUGAUCUGCUGGAGAGAAUAAGUGAUCCUGCAAAUUUUUAGCUUAGGAGAUAGAUGUAUACAAAGAGUGCUAAUAAUCCGUACAGAUUGUCCUAUUAGCCUGGCAAAUUUCUCUCUGUAAAUUAAUAUAAAGUUUUCAUAGGAUAAGAUGAUGAAAAUAAAGAUAAUAUGAUGAAAAUAAAAUAAUCUGAUACAAGUAUGUAAUCCAAAGAAGCCCCAGAAAAUGUCAACCUUUGGAUGCUAUCCAUAAAUGGAACAAAAAACUUAACAAACAAUUCAACCUUGCCAUGAAUCUGUGAUCUGCAAACCCAUGUUAGCUUGAAGAUUCAUGGGAAAUAGACAGGUUUCUUCUCCUCAAUUCGUUCAAUUUUGCAAUAUGCAUUGUGAAGUUCUUCUUAUGUUUGCUUGUCUACAACAUGUCCAGAUUUGAAGCUGAGUUCAGUGCAAUCGCAGACCCAGAGAUGAAUCUUUUUCCAUUUAUGGAGAUUAGGGAAUUCCAUCGGUGUAGAAAAGAUGCUAUGGUGUCAAUUGAGCUUGAUGAAUUAUGGCUAGACCGACAUAAAUCAAACUUUGGAGAAUGAUUACAAAUAGAUGAUCAUAUACCCUUUAAUUUUUUUUUAAAAAAUAUAAAGACAAAUUAAAUAACACAAACUUAAUUAUUCCUUCCAUUUUAUGAAAAAAAAAGAAUAUUGUUACCAUAGAAAAAGCUAUGCUACCUAUUCUUCUAUGACAAAAAUUACUAUGACAAUUCGUAACCGAACUUCAAUAAUUGAUGCAUCUAUUUUUUAUUUUAAAAAAAUAAAUUCAAAUUUUUUUAGAUAAUAAAAAAAAUUAUAGAGAAAUUUGAAUUUUCAUUUGUUGAACAUUUGAAUGAAAUUUCAGAUUAAAUAAAGUACAAUAACUAUUACUGUCGAAAUAAAUCAAAACUUGAUAGAUUCACGAGAUGUGAAAUAAAUAGAUACUUUUAUUUAUAUGGGCAUUUUAAAAAGUAGUCCUUAAAGAUAAGAUAUUUUUAAAAAUGACACUCUUUAUAGUUUUAACUAUUUUUAGCUAAGUUUGACAAAAUUACCCUUAAUGAAGUUACACGCUAUGAUGUUACACGUACAAAAAUCUAUAACAAGCCAUGGUUAGCAUGUUACACGCUAUGUACAAAAAUCUAUGACACGUCAUGUACAAAAACCUGUGAUAAGCCAUGGUUAGCGUGUGACACGCCAUGUACAAAAACAUGUGACACACUUGUACAAAAACCUGUGACAAGUCAUGAUUAGCGUGUGAAAUGCCAUGUACAAAAGCCUGUGACAAGCCAUGGUUAGUGUGUUACACGCCAUGUACCAAAGCCUAUGACAAGUCAUGGUUAGCGUGUGACACGCCAUAUACAAAAGCUUGUGAUAAACCAUGUACAAAAACCUGUGAAACUUCAAAUCCUUUCAAUAUUUUUUUUUAUUUUUUUUUUACAAUUUGGCAUAAAUUAAAGUGUUUCUAACAUGUUUUCAUAAAUCAAAAUACAAAUGUUUUUUUAUCUAAAGCACCCACUUUGACUAAAAAAAAAAAAAAUCUUUGAAAACCUAGAUUUAUAAAUUUCAAAAUUUUGAGUUUAUUGAUAUCUAGGUCAUUAAUUGAUUCAAUUAAAAACUAUUUUAUACAUUUGUGAUUAUUUCUACCGUUUUAGUUUUAUUCAAAAUACCUAAAAAUCGAAUUUUUCAAACAGCCACCCAUCCAAGCAUAUCAAAACCAUUGCUUGGUGUCUUGAAAGCAUAAAAAAAAGAAAUCUGAAAACGUGAGAGAGAGAAAUCGUAAGCAUAGCAAACGAAUACCGAACAGAAAAAUCGAUAAAAUUUGAGAGACUGAGAUGGUGAGAGAGAAAUCUGAAGCACAAAUGGGGAGAAAUUGUGAUAAAUGGUUUAAUUUAUUUGAAAUAGUUUAAAGGGUAUUUUCGUCAAAUCAUGACUAAAUAUGGCUAAAAAUAGUUACAUUUAUUUUGAUAGUUACUUUAAAAUAUUUUUAUCAAAAAAUGUCAUUUUCCAUAAUUUUCUCUUAUUUAUAUAUAGAACAUACAAAAUUACACACUUUAUUUACUUAUCAUACAAACUUAAUUUUACAUCACUUAGGAAGACAAACUCACAAAUACUAGUAUUGAUUUGGUACAAAACUAUUUUUUAUUUUUUAUUUUUCCAAGAUUUUUUUUUCUAUUUUUAAUCUUAUCAUGAGAAACCGGCAAAUCUUGGAUACAUACCCUACGUCCACAUCCCGUAAAUAUAUAUACAUAGCUUGAGUUCUAGAUUAUUCAGGCUCCCACCUUCUAGGAGUUGAGAGUGAAAGCCAUCCACCUAAGGCUUUGCUUGCUGGGUCUGGUCUUUCGGGGGCUCUGCUGUCUUGUUCCUAGGUCCGACAAAUGCCUGGAUCAAGCAUGGAGGCUCAGGUUUCCUGUUUACCAACUUAACCAACAGCUGGAUCAAGCACCGCAAAAUUAAAGGCGCAGCAGCUGUGAUCAAGGCGAGUUGAAAUUUGUCUCCAUCCCGGGUAACAGCAAAGAUUGCAGAUCCAUAAGUUAUAAUCAUUGAAACGCAGGCAACCCUUACUUCAAACUUGAAAGGAAAAGUAUGCGUGAGAGACAUAAUGAGAAGUACCGCUGCAGAAAAGGCUAGGGUGUUGGAAGUCAAGAAAACGUAGUAGGCAUCUGAGUCAGAUGAACAGAUAGCAAUGCCUGCUUUAUGGCCAUUCUUGGUUUCCUGCCAUACACCACCAGGGGGGUUAACCCCAGCUUGGAAGGUCACGGCAGCUAUAAGGGUCGCAACUACCAAGAGAGCGUUGCGGGCGUCGGCUCUAUUCUUAUCCCUGUCCUCCUCGUUUGCACCUUCCUUGUACUGAAAAUAACGACACCAGUCCUUGAAAGUAGUCCCAACCAUUGUUUUCUCUUGGGUUUUGAACUACAAACAGGAUUCAAGAAUUGAAGAAGCUUUUUGUUUAUGGGGAUAUGAAGAAAAACAAAGUAGUAGAUGGAUUUCUCCAGAAAAGCUUGGGGUUUGGCUGAGUCUUAAUUCAGCUUUUUAUAGUUCGCAACAGCAUCAAUCCCGUGACAAAUAUGAAGACAAUUCACUGUUCUUUUUCUAUAUUUGCAUGAUUAUGUUUGGACAAAAUGAGAAGUAGAUUCCUAUCUCAUCUUUGGACGUCAAUAAUUUAGAUUUUUUCAACCUUGUCAAUGUUGUUAAUUAGGACAAAAACCUGAUAGGCACUUCCACUUUCACUGCCAAGAUAUGUCUGUAUGAUUUGUAUUUCUCAAUUUUACACAGCAUUAUCUUCCCUCUUGGUCAGUGCAGGAAAGAAGAUUACAUAAUCAUGCAUUUCGAGUUUAUAUAAGUAUAUAUUUGAUAUUUUAAUAAGUCUUACUAUCCAAAAUUUCAGUAACACAAUAUUAUUGAAUACCCAUAAUUAAAGGGUUAUUUACAAAAUAUGUAUAAAAAUUAAAUAAUUAUAUGAUAUUUCGGUAAGUAAGUAUCUAAUCAUUAUUUUACGUAAUAAAGUAUCUAAUAUUUCAAUAAUUUUAUUUACUCAUGUUUUUCAUAUAAGUUAUUGAUAAAGCAUGUUUAUGGUGACUAAAUAAUAUAUGAAAAAUAAGAAAAAUAAUCAUUCAUUUCAAAGUUAGUAAAAAAAUUGAAAAAAGUUACGAAAAAUAAUCAUAUUUUUAAAAUUAAUGUUUUUGCUUUCCAAAAUUAUUUUAAAAGUUACAGAAAUCACAUAUUCUUAAAUUUUUACAUAAUGUUAUUCACAAAGAACAUAUUAUAAGCAGGUGGACUGAAAAUAAUGACAGGAGGGUAGCAGUCACUUUUAAUUUUUAAAUUUUAUUUCGAAAUCGAAUUAUUAACUUGAUAUAAAACUUUAUAAAAUUAUUUUUAAUUUUUUUUAAAUAAAAUUCUAAAUCGGUCAUCAAUUAUAAAUUUAAUAAAUCUCAUGUAAUUGAUUUCAAUUUUUGCUAGCGUGCAUGUGCAUAGUGGAAAUCUGGAUGACCUUGACUUAAAACGCCGGUCUUCAUAUCUAAAGCAUAGUUAUCCAUAAUCCAUAAGACGAGACAAAAGCCUUUUUGGAGUCACUGUUUUAUCAUGAGGACCAGCUGUGCUUAGUCCGACUUCGAAUUGCCGGGCCAUUUUUAGUUUGUUUCCAUUGAUGACGUGUUUGAGUUCAUGUCAGCCCAUGACCUCUCUUUCGAGGGCUUCAUCUGAAGUCAGCAUUGCAUUGCAUGAUGAGUUUUCUCAUGGAAGCCGCCGGGGACUGUUCUCAUUGACUGAGGUGUCUUUUCUUUAUCGUCCAGGUUGUCAUUUGAUUUAGUUUAAUGGUUGUUUUAAUAAUAUAGUUCAUUUUGCUGUCAAAAGAUGUCCUCAAUUAUGUUUCGCUUUUUGGAAAAAAGAAAUGAAAUCUACUGUGAUUUACUACCAUAGGCAUAUUUUAAUCUACUAUUAUUAGUCUUUAUUUGAGUUUAAAAUGUGUUUUUAUCAUUAUUUGUUCAAUUCUCGUUAGAAUAUAAGAUUGAAAAAUCAAAAAUAUAAGAAAAAAGUAUCAAUUAUAUAAUUAAUCAGAUAUAAAAUUUCUUUUAAUAAUAAUGAUAAUUUUAUUUAUAAUUGAAAAUAACAUGAUCAUAUAGUUAAUUUUACUGUCCUUAACAAAUCAGCUAUAGGCCCUUAUCAAUAUUACAAUUACAUUUUAACAUCAACAUCCAUUGCAAUCAAAAACUCAAGAGUGCUUUUCAUAAAUGGACUUGAGGCAUAAGACGUCUUUAAGAGUAGUCCUCUCUAUAAUUUUAUCUGUUUUUAGUCAAGAGAAAAAAAAUUAGAUAAAAUUAUCUUUAAUGAAAUCAACCCAUUCGCUAGGCUCCGUGCUUCAAUCCGAAACUUAUUAACGGGUCAAGUAUGUUUAGGUUUGCACCUUAAAUUGACUUAUAUUUUUUGAACUUUCCUUACUAGAUUAUUCAUCUCUGGUGUAUUUCUUACCAGAAAGAAAAACGUUUAAGCAUUUUGAAUAUUUUGGAGUAGUUUUUGAUACACAAAGAAAAUUUGUGAGCGUUUUGAACAUUUUUAUACAUUUUAGAGUGAUUUUUGAUAUAUGAAGAAAAACUUUCGAAUAUUUUGAGCAUUCAUAUUUGUUAAUUAUGUUGUUAAAUGAAAUAUGAUAUAUCGUUUGAAGUUGUUGAUCUUGUUAAAUGGAAUUCAGUAGUUUUGGUAUUUUUGAAAAUUAUGUGACUAGUUUUUAAGCAUUGCGUGACUGACUUUGGGCAUUACGUGACUGAUUUUUGAUAAGGCAUUGCGUAACUAGUUUCUGAUAAGACAUUGCGUGACUAGUUAAUAGACAUUGCGUUACUGAUUUUGGGCAUUGCGUGACUAGUUAAUAGGCAUUGCGUGAUUGAUUUUGGGCAUUGCGUGACUAGUUUUUUAUAAGGCAUUGCGUGACUAGUUUCUGAUAAGAUAUUGCAUGACUAGUUGAUGGGCAUUGCGUGAUUUUUUAGUAAGGCAUUGCUUAAAAAUCAGUCAUGCAAUGUAUAAAAACUAGUCAGGUAAUGCCUAAAACCAAUAAUGUAAUGACUAAAAACUAGUGACACGGUAAUUAAGUCACGUAAUACCUAAAAACCAGUAAACUCAAUUUUGAGAUUCUAUGAAUAAACCAACAAACUUAAGAACCUAAAACACUUUUUUUUUUUUUGCUAAGCCAUGAAAUUGUGAAUUUCAUAAAAGAUAGGUUACAAAAUUCCAUAACCCUCCAAAGCAAGAGAAAAUAUAUCCCUAUCGGGAGGUUUUGCUCACUCCCCUUAUACAAAAACAAAAUAUACCCUAUUUACAAAAUAUUUCCUAAACAAUUUCAACUCAAAAUCCCUAACAAACAUGCUUAACAAUCAUCCAAAUCCCAGACACAACAAAAUCGUGAAACACCAUAAAACUCAUCAAACAUGUUUUAGCUGUUCUUUCUCCCUGAGCAAAAUCGUUGUCUGCAAAAAGCAAAAUCGCUGUUCAUCGCCCUUAAAAACCCCGAGAUCCACCAUCCAAAAAAAUAAAACAAAAUAAAAAAGAGCUUGAUGUCAUAUUUGCGAAUUAGAUGACGAAAUAAAUAUAUUUGAGCAGAGAGAGAAAUCGAUAUUUAAUUUUAAAAUUUUUAUAUAGAUGGCAGGAGAGAGAAAACUGAAACCAUUUUAAUUUGUCUGAAAUUAUUUAAAGGGUAUUAUUGUCGAGUCAUAUCAAAAACUGACUUAAAAUUAUAGAGAUGGUUAUUUUUGAAGUCACAUUUCUAUGAAGGUCAUUUCUCACAAUUUUUUCAAAACUCAAAUAGUCCCCAAUAACCGGAUGCAAAAAAUUCAUAUAAAGAAGAACAACACUUACUUGAUUAAGAACCAAAUAAACUUCAAAGUUUUAAAAAUAAAGAACAAGUUAUUAUAUAUGUUGGCAAGAUAACAAUUACCAGAGGAGUAUAAUUCCGAGGUACUGAAUCAAUUCAUUGUACAAAGAGGAGCCACAUUCUAAAUUCCAUGUCGAUUUACGUUCGUCUCUAAUGCUUUCUCCUUGUAUCUGGACCAACUCUCCAUUUCUUGAGCAACCAUAUGGUAAACCGUGCAAACUCCACAAGAAAUAGAAUUCCCAUCACAGUGACCGUUAUAUAUAUAUCUCUCAUUUUCGUUGGACCUAUAUAGAUUAUAGCUACGACAUAAGUACCAAUCAUUGAAAACAUGGCCAGCCGCAAGCCUGCCCUGAAAGGGAAUCCACUGGUGAGGAGAAAGAUCAUGGCAACUGAUGCAAUGAAACCAAUUGAAUUAAAACCGAUGAACACAGAAAAGAUUGGAGGGUUUUUACUCAUGACAGCCUCUCCAGGCGACAUGGUUCUAGAUCUCUUCUGAACGGUGCUGACGGUCGGAUUGUUUUUAUUAUCUGAGUCUGACCAAAAACCACUUGGAGAGUUCAGAAUUGCUUGGUAUGUGAUCCUUGCUAUCAGGACUGCCACAAUCAUUAAUGAGUUUUUAGUUUCACUUGAUGAUUCCGUAACCUCUUUCAUCAGUUCCUUCCAUAGGUUCCAUGAAGAAGAAGAUAGCAAUUUUUGCUUAUUGUUAAAGUUUUCUGCUUCGGUUUGAACAUGUGCAGGGCCUGUUGUGCUUUCUCGGGCUUUCAAAGCUCCAGCUUGCUGAAAUAUCUGAUGAAUCUGAAUAUCAUAACAAUCACCUCCACUUUGGAGCAGAAGAUCUAGGACAUCCUUUGGCGUAAAGCCGCUUGAGUUUAUGGCAUUUACGUUAACGCCAGAAACAACUGCUUCUUGACCAAUUAACAGACCUAUAAUCUACAAACGAGUAAAUAUUCGUAAUUUACAACCUCUGGAACGAAUACCAACAACGCAAUCAGUGCAAUCUGAAUUUUUAGAAUAGCUAAGGAAUUAAACAGAGUUUAAUUAGAAUAACAUGCUUUAGACUCCACCAUGACCCAAACCAGGAUUUAGUAGCACAUCUGCUUGGACUUAUACUUCGAAUAUAAUAGAUUGAAAAAGAAGAAAAAAUAUAAUAGAUUGAAAAAGAAGAAAAACAAAUAAAUAAGAAAAGAUUAAGUAAUUAACUAGCAGGAAGAACUGCAAAACUUGCCUCAGGUUGUCUGUUGAAGGUCGCCUGAUGUAAUAUGGUGUUCCCAUCCUUUUCUUUCCAAAUCAAAAUUUCCAUCAUAUCUAACCUCCUUAUCUCCUCGAUCAGUACCCUUGCAGCCUCAAUCUGGUUACUCUUCACAGCCAAAUGGAGGGCAGUUUCACCAAAAGCAGUCAGUUCUUUAACAGACUCGGGGCAAGCCCAGACCUGUUCCUUAACAACAUCAACUCUGCCUUUCAAAGCCGCGCAAUGAAGUGGAACCUUACCAUCUUUUCCCUUCAAAAGACAUAUGUCAUAUCCAACUCUCAUAAGCUCUCUUAUAAUUUCAACGUGCCCUUUAGCCGAAGCGACAUGCAUCGGGCUAAAACCAUUUUCACUUAGCUCCCUAGCGAAUGCUGGCUUUCUGCUCACAAUUUCUUUUGUGAUUUCUGUUUGUCCCGCCAUUGCUGAUAUGUGUAGAGGAUUAUCGACAGAGUUUAACGCAACUCGAUCAAGCAGAAAUGGAUCUUCCCCGAGUAAUGAGUGAAAUGCAGAAAUAUCUCCAGAACGAGAUGCUUCGAACAAUCUUGGUUCCAUUUCUACUUGAUCUUGUUGCCCUUACCAGUGUGACAAAAUGUAGUGUGAGCUUUGAGUUUUCUUGGGACAUUUUAUAGUAUAUUUAAGGUGAUAGAAUUCGUCACCGGGAAUGGAAUUUGAUCCUAUGGGCAAGCUGGCAAGCAAUGCAAGCAAAAGACAAAAGGACUAUAUGCUUUUUACUAUUAAUUUACCUUUGAAACCUGGAAAGCGGCAUAGAAGGUAACUUAGAAGAUCUGAAAGAUUGAAUGGUCUAAAUUCAUUAAAAUGAAGAAGAAUUAAGGUUAAAAUUUUUUAAAAUUAAUAUGUUGAAUUUAAUCAACAAUUUUUUCAGAAUUGAGCUUGGAUAUUUUGAUUUACAUUGCUUUUAUUCAUGAGUUGAAGUAUUGAGAUUUAGUGACUCAAGUGUAAGAGAAUCAUUUGAAUGAUUUUCAUCUUUUACUGUUAAAAAAUUUAUCAAUUGUUUUCAACUUGCUCAUACUUUAAUUAAAUUUGGAAAAAAAAUUUAAUGCAGUCAAUAUCCAAUAUUUUUAUUUUAUUUUUAUUUAAAUUUAAAAUACUAAAUAUAAAAUUAGUAAUGCAUAAAAUAUAAAUAAUUAAAUUCGAUAUACAAAAUUUCAUAUAAUGAUUAAAUAUAUAAAUAGUUAAAUAAUAUAAAUAAAAAAAUUAUUUCUUAAUUUUACACAAUAGUAGUGAGUAGUCGCGUUCUAUUUUGUCCAAUUGUUGCAUCCACCAUUAUUUCUAUUAAAGGAAGAGGAAAAUCUUGUUCAAGUCCAAAAAGAGAGAGGAUAUUACACUUCUAUAUUUCCGUUAAAGAGGAUUUCCUAUUUGGGUUGGGUUUCCACUUAAAUGUGACCCCGAAUACCUUUCACACCUACUACUUCUACUUGCAAAGAGAGAUGAUGUUGCAACCUCCACCAAGUAUUGCAGAUUCCUCUUUAAGCCUUGGGAGGUCACUUAAAGCCCAUUUAUGCUUCAAUGAAGAAGAAUCCUCUCAUCAAAAGCAGCAACAACUAGCUGUUUAAGGCCUUCAAUGUUCGCUCUGAUUUCCUGAAUGAGUUAGAUACAGAGACAGUGACUUUGUUCAAACAUUUUGGGCUGGCAGGUUGAAUGCAUGACUUGUGCACUAAAACCCCACAUGUUCCCCCCUCUCUCUCUCUCUUCUUUUGGUUUCUUGUGGUUUCCUUUUUUGGGGUUUUGAAUCUGAAAUUGUUUAUGUAUGUACAGAUGGGAGUUUCUUCUUUACAGUCUGGCUAUCAAAAGUCUCAUUGUCAAUUAAUUUCUGAAAUUUCUUUUGAUUCAUGAUUGUGCUUUUUAUAAUGGUCAGGUAAAUACCCUGUAACAUCUGAUAAUACAUGUGAAUAUACCGCUUAAACUUGAAACGCUUGGAAUAUAUCAGAUAAAAACAAUGUAAAAACUUGGAGCUAAAGUCUGAAAAUGGGAGUUUCCCUUUCAUUGAUGCUCCUUUUUCCUCCCAAUUCUGUUAAGGGUGGUACUUUUGGUUGAUACCUGCUCUUAUCCACCUUAAGAUUCUCACAAAAACUUUUCUUUUUUCUUUUGGGGUGCCACUAAAAGUGCAGAGGUGACAAUUGUGUUCAUAAUUGGACAGCAUUUGGGGUUGGAACAAAGAAUGAAAACAUUGAGUGGUGUGUAGAGACCCUGGCCUGGGAUGUACUGAUACUUACAAAGUAGCUGAGUUGACAACAAAUUUUGUACACCAAGAAAUGCUGUUUUUUGGCUUGUGGUUCUUUUGGUAUAGAGAUGGGUUAGAACAAAUUGCUCUAUUUGACAGUUGUCUUUAUUCUUUUGGAUGGGGACAUGGAACAUGUGCAUGCAGUCACUGGCAACUACUGAUCUGCUGGAGAGAAGUGAUCCUACAAAGUUUUAGCUUAAGAGAUAGAUGUAUACCAAAAAUGCUAAUAAUCCGUACAGAUCGACCUAUUAACCUGACAAAUUUCUGUCUGUAAAUUAAUAUAAAGUUUUCAUAGGAUAAGAUGAUGAAAAUAAAAUAAUCUGAUAGAAGCAUGUAAUCCAAAGAGGCCCAAGAAAAUGUCAACCCUGCAUGCUGUUGAUCUAAGAAAGACAAACAUUUAAAAUCGAAAAAAGAAAAAGUUGUGUGGGUCUUGCGGGAUAUAAACAAAAAGCUGCUUUCAAGCUUGGGCCUCAGCCUGGUAAGAGUGUAAUCAAACCCAACUAGUCUUCGAGCAAGACUAGCCCUUUGGUCCAAACCUAGCAAAACAAUACAACAUUGCCAUGAAUCUGUAAUCUGCAAACCUAUGUUAGCUUGAAGAUUCAUAGGAAAUAGACAGGUUUUCUUCCCCCUUAAUUCGUUAAAUAAUGCAAUACGCAUUCUCAAGUUGUUCUUGUGGCUAGCUUGUCUACAACAUGUCCAGAUAUCAAGCUGAGUUGAAUGCAAUUGCAGACCCAGAAAUGAAUGCUUUUCCAAUUAUGGAGAUUGGGGAAUACAUCAGUGUAAGAAGAUGCUAUGUUCAAUGGAGCCUGAUGAAUUAUGGCUAGACCGACAUAAAUCAAACCUGGAGAAUGAUUACAACAUGAUAAUCGAUCAUAUAUCCAAAUGAAAUUGCACAAACUUAAUUAUUGAAACGCUAGCAACCCUUACUUCAAAUUUGAAAGGAAAUUUAUGUGUGAGUGACAUAAUGACAAGUACUGCUGCUGAAAAGGCUAAGGUGUUUGAUGUCAAGAAAACGUAGUAGGCUGCUGUCUCAGAUGCAUAGAUAGAUGAUAGCAGUGCCUGCUGUAUUGUCCUCCUUGGUUUCCUGCCAUACACCACCAAGGGAGGUUAACCCCAGCUUGGAAGGUCACGGUAGCUAUUAGGGUGGCAACUACCAAGAGAACGUUGCGUGCGUCGGCUCUAUUUUUCUCCUUAUCCUCCUUUUUUGCACCUUCCUUAUACUGAAAAUAACGACACCAGUCCCUGAAAGUAGUCCCAACCAUUGUUUUCUCUUUGGUUAUGUCUUACAAACAGAAUUCAAGAAUUGAUGAAGCUCUAUGAGGAUUGAAGAAAAAAAGGUAGUAGAUGGAUUUCUCCAGAAAAGCUUUGGGUUUGGGUGAGUCUUGAUUCAGCUUUUAUAGCAAGCAAUUUACCAUAAUAGUUGGCAACAAUUUCAAUCUCGUGACAAACGUGAAGUCAGAAGCGGAGGGAGGUAGGGCCCCCGCGCCCCCCCACCCCCCUUCUAAAUUUAAAAAAUUUAUAAAUAUUUUAAAAAUUUUAAACGAAUAUAUUAAUUUUUAAAAUGAACAAUUUACUUAAAAAUAUAAAUACUAUUAACAGAAAUUAAAAAAAGAUUUAAUAUAUUAUUUUUUAUUAAUUUAAAAAAUUAUUAUUAUAUUCUAAAAAAUUAAAUAAAAAAAAGAUAGAAGGAAUGGUUGGGCGUACGCCCAGCCAUCCCUUCCCCAACCACCCUGAAUGAUGAGGUUCUGGCUACCAACUCCUUGGUGCCAGAACCCCAUUGCCAGGUUGUCCAAAUUUUUGGACAACCCAACUGUUAAAAAUCAAACCUGCAAAACCAAAAAAAGAGGACAACCAAGAAAACAAGAUAAAAAAUCCAAAAAAUCCUAACCUACCAGCAGACUACCCUAGCCAUAAUAACAAAAAAAAAACAAACACAAAACAAAAACAAAAAAGGAGAAGUUAGAUCUGGAAAAAUGAGUGAGAGGGGGGUUUAAGGGUAAAGAAAAAAGUUUUUUUUCGAGUAGGGGAGAAUCGGAAGGGAGACCUACAACAAGGGAGGCCUACCGACAGAAAGUUGAAGAAGGAAGAAGGAGAGAAAAGAAGAUAGGAGAUCUACCGGGCGAGAGAGAAAUACAGAAGAGAAAGCCGAAGGAGAGGGAAAGAGAGGGAUCGGCUGGCCAAAGGGGAAGUUGAAGAGAGAAAGAAAUGAAAAAGAAGAAAAAGAAGAAAAGAAAAAGUUAGGGAGAGGAUAGAGAGAGUGACGGCUAGAGAGAGAAAAAGAGAGCCAAAAAUGAAAGAGGAAGAAGAAAAUAAGGUUUAAAUACCUAGGGCUUGAGGGCCAAAACGACGUCGUUUUGUGUUGUCUUUGGGUGUUUGAAUUAGCACUAAACGGUGCGUGCAGGAGAAGAAGCUGGUGGUUUAUGGGAAUUUGCUGGUUACGGAUUAAAGCUUACCAGGCCCACUAUCUUUUCUCAGCACCAGGCCCAUCUAUUAGGCCACCUAAAGGCUUUGCUACACCUUGGAAAAAAAAAAAAGAGCCCACACAAGGUAAGACAUUUCUUCUCUUUUUGGGUUNCACAUGUUUCAUAUAAUUUACUAAUUAUUAAAUUAAUAAAAACACACAAAUAAUAAAAUUUAAAUUUAAAUAAUUAAAAACAAAUAUCUCAAAUAUAAUUAAUAAUUUUAUAAGUUAUAAGUUUUGUAAUGUUAAUAAAAAAUAGAAACUAAAUAUGUUUAUAUUUAAAGUGUAUACAUACUAAAAGUAUUUUAGUAUAUAUAUAAUGGUAAGUAUAUUUCUUAUAAAUAAACCUAAUGUAUAAAAAGUAUAUAUAUUAAAAGACAUUACAAGUUAAUAAAUAAUCUAAGUUUCAUUAAUUAAUUUAAUUAAUUAUAUGAAUUUGUCCUUAAUUACAUAAAAUUAAAAAAAUAACUAAGUUUCAAAUCUCACAACUUUUCUUUAGAUUUAUAUAUUAUAAGUGUAUAUAAACAAAUGUAUAUAUAUUGUAAUUAAUAAUUUUAUAAUUUAUAUAUUUUUGUAAUGUUAACACAAAAUAGAGAGUAAAUAUGUUUAUAUUUAAAGUACAUACAUAUAUACUAAAAGUAUUUUAAUAUAUAUAAUAGUAAUUAUAUUCCUUAUAAAUGAACUUAAUAUAUAUAAAGUAUAUAUAUUAAAAGACAUUAUAUGUUAAUUAAUAACUAUAGUUUCAUGAAUUAAUUUAAUUAAUUAUAUAAGUUUGUCCUGAAUUACAGGAAAUUAAAAAAAAUAACUAGGUUUUAAAACUAUUCAAAUUUCACAAUUCCUCUUUAGGUUUAUAUAUUAUAAGUAUAUAUAAAUAAAGGUAUAUAUAUUAUAAUUAAUAAUUUUAUAAAUUAUAAUUUUUUUUAAUAUUAACACAAAAUAGAAAAUAAAUAUGUUUGUAUUUAAAAUAUAUAUUAAAAUAUUUUAAUAUAUAUAGUAGUAAUUAUAUUUCUUAUAAAUUAACACAAUAUAUAAACUAUAUAUAUUAAAAAAUAUUACAAAUUAAUUAAUAAUCAUAUUUUUAAAAUGGCUAAGGGAACAUUGUUGGUACAUUACAGUCUGGCUAUCAAAAGUCUCAAUGUCGAUCAAUUUCUGAAAUUUCUUUUGGUUCAUGAUUGUGCUUUUUUUAAUGGUCAGGAAAAUUCUAAAUACCCUGUACCAUCUGAUAAUGCAUGUGAAUAUACAGCUUGAACUUGAAACCCUUGGAAUAUAUCAAAUAAAAAUAAUAUAAAAACUAGCAUUAAAAGUCUUAAAGUGGGAGCUUCCUUUUCAUUGAUGCUCCUUUUUUCAUCCCAAUUCUGUUAAGUGUGGUACUUUUGGUUGAUACCUGCUCUUAUCCACCUUACGAUUCUCACAAAAACUUUUCUUUUUUCUUUUGGGGUGCCACUAAAAGUGCAAAGGUGACGAUUGUGUUCAUAAUUGGGCAGCAUUUCGGGCUGGGACAAAGAAUGAAAACAUUGAGUGGUGCAUAAAGCCGUUGGCUUGGGAUUUAGUGAUACUUAUUGUCAUAACGUGAGGGUCCGAGAAUCCAAUCACUAGACGUGAACGAAAAUAAAAUAUCUAGGAGUCGUCGUUAAUCUUUUUUUUAUUUAGGUGUGAUUGGCCACCUAUUAACCCUAUUAUAAUUAAUGAAGUUCUAAUUUAAUUUUAGAUCUAUUGACAGAACGAGAACUGAUCCACGUUUUUUAGAUAUAGGUUUAGGAGUGCGGUUACGCAUGGAGAAGGGUUAGCACCUUCGUGACGCCCGUUCCACAAACGAUACCAUUUAAUCUUAAGUUAUCAUAUUGAAGCCUACCUUGAUUUUAUUCCUGUGUUUCCUUAAUCCUUUUUAUUAAUUAAUUCUUUGUUAUGUUAUCUGCUUGAAUCUUUUAGUCGGUUUUACGGAUGCACAUGACGCAGUCAUAAAAUGAUGUUAUGAUUUGUCGAAUUUUAAAUGAUGAGGUCGGCAAUCUUUUAUUGAAAAAUCAUUCGUAGAUCAUCCCAGCGCUUUGGUGAAGUUUCGAAGUUUUUCUCACCUAGGGAUAUCCCGAGAAAGACUCGUCUCUGUGAGCUCUUCGAGAAAAUCCCAUCAUCGAAAUUUUAACCCCAACAGCAAGAUAUAUGUGGUAUGCUAUGACAGUAUAAAAAUGAUGAUAUCGACAUGACCAUGUUUAUUAAUUAGUUGGUUGGUAAUAAUAACAUGUUUAAUAAUUUAAGGUGAUUUAUUACCUUAUUUAUAUAUAUUUUUAUUAUUAUUAUUAUUAUUUAUGUAUAUUAUUUUAAACAACAAUUAUUUGGACUAAUGGGUAUCGGAGUAUAGAAUUCGAAUUUAUCCCGACGCUUCAAUGAAAAUUCAUCUCGAACUCCGUACCUAAGAAAUCCACUGGAAAGAGGCAAUUCUUUGCCCUUUUUAGGUGAAGUUCUAUCAUCGGAUCAACUCAAAUUAACCGCUUGAUUUUUUUUAUAUUUGUAAUUUAAUAUUAUAUUGUACAUUCUAUAUAUUUAUAAAUAGCUAGAUCAAUUUUGUAAUACUUUAUUCUCAUUUUUUAUUUCUUUUCAUUUUUUUAGACCCAUUUCUAUUAUUUAUUAAUUAUUUUAUACAUAUUUAAAAAAAACUAAGUACUUUCUAAUCUUCCAUUUAAUUAAUUAAUUUUUUUUACCUUGUUCAUUCACCUAUUUUUUGUUAUAUGUUCAUAUAUAUAUUUAUACAUGCAUAUCUAUUAAUUUACUACAUUUACUAUCUAUUGUAUUAAAUAUUUUCAUUUUUAGCUUUCAUAUGUUUUAUUUUUCAUGUGCAUAAAUUUCAAACAACACCAAAAAUAAUAAAACUAUUAUAACACUUAAACAAGAAAUUAAAUAACCAUUUUCAGUAGUUCAAGCCCAAACCAUUAUUUAAUGAAUAAAUCCAAUACCUAUUGGGUUGUAACUAACCCACUGCUUCAAAUGGGUUCAAGCUCCACUAGGCUUCAAAGGUCCCCUCCAAUUCGGUUUGGGCCCAAAGGGUCUGCUGCACUUGUUUUUUUUCUGAUUUGGGCUUGAAUAGUUCAAGAAUGCCUUAGCCCAAGGAGGAUAUCAAGCUUGCCGCAACAAGCCACUUAAUCCUCUUCAAUGUGCGUCGUUUUUGGCUUUCAAAAAUGCUUCAAACGACGUCGUUUUGAUCUCUUAUACCUGGGUAUAAAAGCUUCUUUUCUUUUCUCUCUCUUCACUUUCCUCUCUCACUUUCUCUCUCUUGCCACAAUUCUCUCAAUCUUCUCCUUAAGCUUUUCUUUUUUUUCUUUUCUUCUUCUCUCUUUUUUUUUUCUUUCUUUCUUGGCUCGCAGAUCUCCCUCCUCUCUCUUUCUCCCAGCUUCUUCCCCUCUCUUUUGCCGCCGGCGUCCCUUCUCCUCCACCGACCAGAUCUGGGUCUCCAAGACCUUUUUUUUUUUUUCUGCUUUCUCCUUUUUUACUUUUUGUGUUUUUUUGUUGUGAUUUUGGUUUUUUUAGUGCUUGUGGUUAGGUAUUUAAGCUGGUAGAUCUUAGGAUUUUUUUGUUUCUAAAAAUCUGUGUUGUUUUUUUUUUGUGUUCUUGAUUGUUGGAUUUUUUUUGAAGAAGAUGGAGUUUUUUUUUUUAAUCCGAUUUUUCUUUUCCAAAAAUCCCCCCUCAGCCUCAGAUUUUUCAAGGUUCUUUUAGAACCCAAUUGUCUAAAUCUUUGGACAAUCAUGAUCUUGGCAACACUAAUUCUGGAUGGGUAACCUUCAGGUCAAAAAAAAUUCACCAAAAAUGAAAUCAAAUCUCAGCUGCCAGAAGAGCAUUGAAUGCUCUGUAUUUUGUUGACAAUGAAGGCUAAGCGUGCUUCCAGCGUUUUUUUUUUAAUUUUGAUUUUUUAAUUUUUUAUUUAUUAUUAUUGUUUUUAUUUUAUUAAAAAGAAGUGUCUACACUUACACAGUAGGUGAGUUGACAACACUAAUAUGUAUACAAAGAAAUGUUGUUUUUUUGCUCGUGGUUCAUUUGGGUACAGAGAUGGUUCAGAACAGAUUGCUCUAUUUGACAGUUGUCUUUAUUCUUUUGGAGGGGGACAUGGAACAUGUGCAUGCAGUCACCAGCAACUAUUGAUCUACUAGAGAGAAGAAGUGAUCCUGCAAAUUUUUAGCUUAGGAGAUAAAUGUAUACAAAGAGUGCUAAUAAUCCGUACAGAUUGACCUAUUAGCCUGGCAAAUUUCUCUUUGUAAAUUAAUAUAAAGUUUUCAUAGGAUAAGAUGAUGAAAAUAAGGAUAAUAUGAUGAAAAUAAAAUAAUCUGAUACAAGUAUGUAAUCCAAAGAAGCCCCAGAAAGUGUCAACCUUUGGAUGCUAUCCAUAAAUGGAACAAAAAACUUAGAAAACAAUUCAACCUUGCCAUGAAUCUGUGAUCUGCAAACCCAUGUUAGCUUGAAGAUUCAUGGGAAAUAGACACGUUUCUUCUCCUCAAUUCGUUCAAUUUUGCAAUAUGCAUUGUCAAGUUCUUCUUAUGUCUGCUUGUCUACAACAUGUCCAGAUUUGAAGCUGAGUUCAGUGCAAUUGCAGACCCAGAGAUGAAUCUUUUUCCAUUUAUGGAGAUUAGGGAAUUCCAUUGGUGUAGAAAAGAUGCUAUGUUGUCAAUUGAGCUUGAUAAAUUAUGGCUAGACCGACAUAAAUCAAACUUUGGAGAAUGAUUACAAAUAGAUGAUCAUAUACCCUUUAAUUUUUCUAAAAAAAAUAUAAGGGCAAAUUAAAUAACACAAACUUAAUUAUUUCUUCAAUUUUAUGAAAAAAAAAAAGAAAUAUUGUUAUCAUAGAAAAAGCUAUGCUACCUAUUCUUUUAUGACUAAAAUUACUAUAACAAUUCGUAACCGAACUUCGAUAAUUGAUGCAUCUAUUUAUUAUUUAAAAAAAUAAAUUUGAAUUAUUUUAAAUAAUAAAAAAAUUAUAGAGACAUUUGAAUUUUCAUUUGUUGAACAUUUGAAUGAAAUUUCAAAUUAAAUAAAGUACAAUAACCAUUACUAUCGAAAUAAAUCAAAACUUGAUAGAUUCACGAGAUGUGAAACAAACAGAUACUUUAUUUAUAUAUAGAGCAUACAAAAUUACACACUUUAUUUACUUAUCAUACAAACUUAAUUUUACAUCACUUAGGAAGACAAACUCACAAAUACUAAUAUUAAUUUGGUACAAAACUAUUUUUAAUUUUUUAUUUUUCAAGAUUUUUUUUUCUAUUUUUAAUCUUAUCAUGAGAAACCUGCAAAUCUUGGAUACAUACCCUACGUCCACAUCCCGUAAAUAUAUAUACAUAGCUUGAGUUCUAGAUUAUUCAGGCUCCCACCUUCUAGGAGUUGAGAGUGAAAGCCAUCCACCUAAGGUUUUGCUUGCUGGGUCUGGUCUUUCGGGGGCUCUGCUGUCUUGUUCCUAGGUCCGACAAAUGCCUGGAUCAAGCAUGGAGGCUCAGGUUCCCUGUUUUUCAACUUAACCAACAGCUGGAUCAAGCACCGCAAAAUUAAAGGCGCAGCAGCUGUGAUCAAGGCGAGUUGAAAUUUGUCUUCAUCUCCGGUAACAGCAAAGAUUGCAGAUCCAUAAGUUAUAAUCAUUGAAACGCCAGCAACCCUUACUUCAAACUUGAAAGGAAAAUUAUGCGUGAGAGACAUAAUGACAAGUACCGCUGCAGAAAAGGCUAGGGUGUUGGAAGUCAAGAAAACGUAGUAGGCAUCUGAGUCAGAUGCACAGAUAGCAGUGCCUGCCGUAUGGUAAUCGUUGGUUUCCUGCCAUACACCGCCAGGGGGGUUAACCCCAGCUUGGAAGGUCACGGCAGCUAUAAGGGUCGCAACUACCAAGAGAGCGUUGCGGGCGUCGGCUCUAUUCUUAUCCCUGUCCUCCUCGUUUGCACCUUCCUUGUACUGAAAAUAACGACACCAGUCCUUGAAAGUAGUCCCAACCAUUGUUUUCUCUUGGGUUUUGAACUACAAACAGGAUUCAAGAAUUGAAGAAGCUUUUUGUUUAUGGGGAUAUGAAGAAAAACAAAGUAGUAGAUGGAUUUCUCCAGAAAAGCUUGGGGUUUGGCUGAGUCUUAAUUCAGCUUUUUAUAGUUCGCAACAGUAUCAAUCCCGUGACAAAUAUGAAGACAAUUCACUGUUCUUUUUCUAUAUUUGCAUGAUUAUGUUUGGACAAAAUGAGGAGUAGAUUCCUAUCUCAUCUUUGGACAUUGAUUAUGAUUACGUCUGUUAAUUAAUUAAUAAUUUAGUUUUCUUCAACCUUGUCAAUGUUGUUAAUUAGGACAAAAACCUGAUAGGCACUUCCACUUCCACUGCCAAGAUACGUCUGUAUGAUUUGUAUUUCUCAAUUUAAUGGCAUCAUCUUCCUUUUUGGUCAAUGUAGGGAAGAAGAUUACAUAAUCAUGCAUUUCUAGUUUAUAUAAGUAUAUAUUUAAUAUUUUAAUAAGUCUUAUUAUCUAAAAUUUCAGUAACACAGUAUUACUGAAUACCCAUAAAUAAAGGGUUAUUUACGAAAUACGUAUAAAAAUUCAAUAAUUAUAUGAUAUUUCGGUAAGUAAGUAUCUAAUCAUUAUUUUACGUAAUAAAGUAUCUAAUAUUUCAAUAAUUUUAUUUACUCAUGUUUUUCAUAUAAGUUAUUGAUAAAGCAUGUUCAUGGUGACUAAAUAAUAUAUGAAAAAUAAGAAAAAUAAUCAUUCAUUUCAAAGUUAGUAAAAAAUUAUUUGAGUUUAAAAUGUGUUUUUAUCAUCAUUUGUUCAAUUCUCGUUCGAAUAUAAGAUUCAAAAAUCGAAAAUAUUAGAAAAAAGUAAAUAUCAAUUAUAUAAUUAAUCAAAUAUAAAUUUUUUUAAUAAUAAUGAUAAUUUUAUUUAUAAUUGAAAAUAACAUGAUCAUAUAGUUAAUUUUACUGUCCUUAACAAAUCAGCUAUAGGCCCUUAUCAAUAUUACAAUUACAUUUUAACAUCAACAUCCAUUGCAAUCAAAAAUUCAAAUAUUUUUCGAUAACAGAAUACAGAAAAUUCCUACAAAGAAGAAUAACACUUACUUGAUUAAAAAUCAAAUAAACUUCAAGAUUUUAAAAAUAAAGAACAAGUUAUUAUAUAUGUUGGCAAGAUAACAAUUACCAGAGGAGUAAAAUUCUAAGGUACUGAAUCAAUUCAUGGUACAAAGAGGAGCCACAUUCUGAAUUCCAAGUCGAUUUCCGUUCGUCUCCAAUGCUUUCGCCUUGUAUCUGGACCAACUCUCCAUUUCUUGAACAACCGUAUGGUAAACCGUGCAAACUCCUCAAGAAAUCGAAUUCCCAUCACAGUGACCGUGUUACAUAGAUCACUUAUUUUCGUUGGACGUAUAUAGCUAAUAGCUACGACGUAAGUAGCAAUCAUUGAAAACAUGGCCAGCCGAAAGCCUGCCCUGGGAGGCAUGGGCGGACCCAUGUAUAUGUGUGUGGUGUCACAUGACACCACUCAAUUUAAAAGAAUAUUUAUUUAUUAUAUUAUUUUUUAGAGUUUAUAUAUUUAAUAAUACUAUAAACUUAUUAUUUUUUUAUAAUUUUGUAAAAAGUGUGUUCAAAAAGUAAAUUUUAUUAAAAAAUUUAUAUAUUAAUAAUAUUUAAAUAUUUUUUAAAAAAAUAUUUAAAUAUUAUCAAAAAGUAAAUUUAUCAAAAAAUAAUUUAUAUAUUAAUAUUUAAAUUCUACAUGAAAAAUUAAAAUAUUUUUUUUAUAAUUUAAAAUUUUAUUAAAAAAGUCAAAACCUAAACUACUCUCACUCUUCAAAAAUUUUAAUCUUAUUAUUGAGACUUACAGUGACUUUCUUCUUUUCUAUAAUUGAUUGUGUUUUUCAUUUUCUUAAAGUAACUCAACUAAAUUUUAAUUGUAAAAAAUUUUUAAACCAAGUUAAGUUUUUAAAUAUUUCAUGUUUAAAUAUUUGUUGAUUAAUUUGAUAGUUUGGAUUCAUAAUUAUAUUCUUGAAAUUAUUAGUCUUUUUUUUUAUUUUGUAGAUAUUAAUUAUUUGAUUUUUGUAUUUUACUUUAUGUGGUUUGUAGAUUAUUAUAUUUAGUUUUGAUUAAUAAAUAGAAAUUUGUUUUAUUAUUAGUUGUUGAACUUGAUAAUUUGCUACGUAAGAUUAUAUUUUGUUUAAUUCUAAUAUUUUAGUUUAUGGUAAUGAGUAGUAAUUUUUAACAAGGUUUUAUAAUUUUAAAUAAAUAAGCCAUGGAAAGAUAUUUUACAAGAAAAAAAAAAUUAUUUCACAAGAAUCAGAUCCCGAGCAACAACAACAAAAUUCUACUAACGAUUUUAGUCAACAAUCGUCUAAGUAAAGUUGUGUUGAAUUUGAUUUAAAUACUCUUCUGACAUAUCCUGAAUUGAGAAAUUUUUUUUUGAGUAUCAUGAUCAAAAUGAAAUUAGAAGAGCAUAUUUGCAGAAAGGGUCACUGAUACUAUCAUACCAUGUUUUCACAAUAUGAAAAAUUGUCAUGGAUAAUUAUAGGUUUUUAGAUAUUUUUAUUUUGAAGUAUUAAAUGAAUAUAUUGAAUUUACAUUUUUCUUAAUUUAAUGUUAAAAUUUUUAUUUUAUGAAUUUUAACAUAUUUAUUUUUUUACUUAGUAUUUUAAUUAUAACACCACUCAAGAAAAUUCUUGAGUCUGCCCCUGCUAAGAGGGAAUCCACUGGUGAGGAGAAAGGUCAUGGCAACUGAUGCAAUGAAACCAAUUGAAUUAAAACCGAUGAACACAGAAAAGAUUGGAGGGUUUUUACUCAUGACAGCCUCUCCGAGUGUCAUGGUUCUAGAUCUCUUCUGAACGACGUGGGUGCCGACGGUCGUAGAAUUUUUACUCUCUGCUAACCAAAAACCACUUGGUGGGCUCAGAAUUGCUUGGUAUGUGAUCGUUGCUAUCAGGACUGGCACAACCAUUAAUGAGUUUUUAGUUUCACUUGAUGAUUCCGUAACCUCUUUCAUCAGUUCCUUCCAUAGGUUCCAUGAACAACAAGAUCGCAAUAUUUGCUCGUUGUUAAGGCUUUCUGCUUUGGUUUGGAUAUGAGCAGGGCCUGUUGUGAUUUCUUGGGCUUUCACAGCUCCAGCUUGCUGAAACAUCUGAUAAAUAUGAAUAUCAUACAAAUCACCUCCACUUUGGAGCAGAAGAUCUAGGACAUCCUUCGGCGUAAAGCCGUUUGAGGUUAUGGCAUUUGCGUUAACCCUGGAAACCACUGCUUCUUGACCAAUUAACAGAGCUAUAAUCUGCAAAUGAUAUACAUCCAUAAUUUACAACUUCUGUAAAGGAUUCAAUGUGGAAUUAAACAUAACUUUUUAGAAAAUAUCGACAACGCAAUCAGUACAAUCUAUUCUUCCUUAGAAUUUAGGGUAGUCUAGGAAUUAAAGAGAAUUUAAUUAGAAUAACAGGCUUUGGACUCUAGCAUGAUCAAAACUAGGAUUUAGUCGCUCAUCUACUUCAACUUAUACGUGACAUCUUUCCGCAACCAGAACGCUGUAGAAGAAAUGUAGUUUGGUAUUUAUUACAUUUCCAAUUAAAUAAUGAUUUGCAUAAGUUUAUUGAUAAUUAAAGUUAAAUUUCAUUUGUCGAGAAAGUAAUGAAAGAUUUUUAAUUUUAACUUUGAUUUACAAGUUAAUAAAUAAUCAUAAUUUUAUUAAUUAAUUUAAUUAAUUAUAUAAAUUUAUCUUUAAUUAUAGGAAAUUGAAAAAAAAAAUAGGUUUCAAAUCUCACGAUUUCUUUUUAGAUUUAUAUAUUAUAUGUGUAUAUAAACAAUGGUAUAUAUAUAUUGUAAUUAAUAAUUUUAUAAAUUAUAAUUUUGUAAUGUUAACACAAAAUAAAAAAUAAAUAUGUUUACAUUUAAAGUACAUAUACAUAUAUAUACUAAAAGUAUUUUAAUAUAUACAAUAGUAAUUAUAUUCUUUAUAAAUGAACUUAAUAUAUAACGAAUAUAUAUUAAAAGACAUUAUAUGUCAAUUAAUAAUUAUUGUUUCAUGAAUUAAUUUAAUUAACUAUAUGGAUUUGUCCUUAAUUACAAAAAAUUAAAAAAAAAAAUAGGUUUCAAAACUAUUUUAAUUUCACAAUCUCUUUAGGUUUAUAUAUUAUAAGUAUAUAUAAAUAAAUGUAUAUAUAUAUAUAUUAUAAUUAAUAAUUUUAUAAAUUAUAAUUUUUUUAAUGUUAACAUAAAAUAGAAAGUAAAUAUGUUUAUAUUUAAAAUAUAUAUUAAAAUAUUUUAGUAUAUAUAUAAUAGUAAUUAUGUUUCUUAUAAAUUAACACAAUAUAUAAACUAUAUAUAUUAAAAGACAUUAGAAGUUAAUUAAUAAUCAUAGUUUUAUAAAUUAAUUUAAUUAACUAUAUGAAUUUGUCUUUAAUUUCAUGAAAUUAAAAAAAAUUAAAUUCCAAAACUAUUCUAAUCUCAAAAGCUCUCUUUAAUUAUAUAUAUUAUAAGUUUAUAUAAACAAUAGUAUAUAUAUUAUAAUUAAUAAUUUUAUAAGUUAUAAUUUUUAUAAUGUUAACACAAAAUAAAAAAUAAAUAUAUUUAUAUUAAAAGUAUAUAUAUAAUAGUAAUUAUAUUCCUUUAUAAUGUAAUAUAAUAUUCAUAUUAUUUGAAUAUAAUAAAUAAUGUAAUAAUUUUUUAAUUUAAAUCUAUUAAUGUCAUCACAUUAAUAAUUAGAGUAAUCAUACUUUGAUAUCUUUGUUAGUUUUUAACAAAAAGAAUUGCUUGUAAAAUUAGUAAAAUUGUAUAUUUUUAAUUAUAUUAUUAAAAUAAUAAAAAAUAUUUUAUAAAUGAUAAUCGAGUUUGGGUAAUGGAUGUUCAAUGAGUGGUACUUGAACUGUAUCCGAAUCCGAUACGGAUAGUAAAAUCAUUACCUGAAUCUGUCUCAAACACGAUUACAAGAUACUCCAAUUUUAUAUAACUGGAUCGAGUAUUCACAAGUAUCUUAUAAUAAGGUACCCAUUACUAUCUCUAACCAAAAUCAAAGUCUUGAUUUCAGUGCCUUAAAACAACUAAAACAACGGACUGAACUAAAUACAUAAGCUAAUAUCGCAUUACAAAAGAAAGAACAAUAAAAUAAACAAAAAGACAAACAAGGCUUUAAAAACAAGUUAAAUGCACGAACAUUGUUCGCUAUCAAAAUGGCUAAGCGAACAUUGUUCAUACAUUACAGUCUGGCUAUCAAAAGUCUCAUUGUCGAUCAAUUUCUGAAAUUUCUUUUAGUUGAUGAUUGUGCCUUUUUUAGUGGUCAGGAAAAUUCUAAAUACCCUGUAACAUCUGAUAAUGCAUGUGAAUAUACUGCUUGAACCUGAAACCCUUGGAAUAUAUCAGAUAAAAACAAUAUAAAAACUAGCAUUAAAAGUCUGACAGUGGGAGUUUCCUUUUCAUUGAUGCCCCUUUUUCCCCCCAAUUCUGUUAAAGGUGAUGCUUUUGGUUGAUACUUGCUCUUAUCCACCUUAAGAUUCUCACAGAAACUUUUCUUUUUUCUUUUGGUGUGCCACUAAAAGUGCAGAGGUGACGAUUGUGUUCAUAAUUGGGCAGCAUUUCGGGCUGGAACAAAGAAUGAAAACAUUGAGUGGUGCGUAGAGCCCCUAGCCUGGGAUUUAGUGAUACUUACAAAGUAGGUGAGUUGACAACACUAAUUUGUACACAAAGAAAUAUUGUUUUUUUGCUCGUGGUUCAUUUGGGUACAGAGAUGGGUCAAAACAGAUUGCUCUAUUUGACAGUUGUCUUUAUUCUUUUGGAGGGGGACAUGGAACAUGUGCAUGCAGUCACAAGCAACUACUGAUCUGCUGGAGAGAAUAAGUGAUCUUGCAAAUUUUUAGCUUAGGAGAUAGAUGUAUACAAAUAGUGCUAAUAAUCCGUACAGAUUGUCCUAUUAGCCUGUUAAAUUUCUCUCUGUAAAUUAAUAUAAAGUUUUCAUAGGAUAAGAUGAUGAAAAUAAGGAUAAUAUGAUGAAAAUAAAAUAAUCUGAUACAAGUAUGUAAUCCAAAGAAGCCCUAGAAAAUGUCAACCUUUGGAUGCUAUCCAUAAAUGGAACAAAAAACUUAGCAAACAAUUCAACCUUGCCAUGAAUCUGUGAUCUGCAAACCCAUGUUAGCUUGAAGAUUCAUGGGAAAUAAACGGGUUUCUUCUCCUCAAUUCGUUCAAUUUUGCAAUAUGCAUUGUCAAGUUCUUCUUAUGUUGCUUGUCUACAACAUGUCCAGAUUUGAAGCUGAGUUCAGUGCAAUUGCAGACCCAGAGAUGAAUCUUUUUCCAUUUAUGGAGAUUAGGGAAUUCCAUCGGUGUAGAAAAGAUGCUAUGUUGUCAAUUGAGCUUGAUAAAUUAUGGAUAGACCGACAUAAAUCAAACUUUGGAGAAUGAUUACAAAUAGAUGAUCAUAUACGCUUUAAUUUUUUUUCAAAAAAUAUAAGGACAAAUUAAAUAACACAAACUUAAUUAUUCCUUCAAUUUUAUGAAAAAAAAAAGAAUAUUGUUACCAUAGAAAAAGUUGUGCUACCUAUUCUUCUAUGACUAAAAUUACUAUGACAAUUCGUAACCGAACUUCAAUAAUUGAUGCAUCUAUUUUUUAUUUAAAAAAAUGAAUUCAAAUUUUUUUAGAUAAUAAAAAAAUUAUAGAGAUAUUUGAAUUUUUAUUUGUCCGAACAUUUGAAUGAAAUUUCAGAUUAAAUAAAAUACAAUAAUUAUUACUGUCGAAAUAAAUCAAAACUUGAUAGAUUCACGAGAUGUGAAACAAACAGGUACUUUAUUUAUAUAUGGAACAUACAAAAUUACACACUUUAUUUACUUAUUAUACAAACUUAAUUUUACAUCACUUAGGAAGACAAACUCACAAAUACUAGUAUUAAUUUGGUACAAAACUAUUUUCAAUUUUUUAUUUUUUCAAGAUUUUUUUUUCUAUUUUUAAUCUUAUCAUGAGAAACCGGCAAAUCUUGGAUACAUACCCUAUGUCCACAUCCCGUAAAUAUAUAUAUAGCUUGAGUUCUAGAUUAUUCAGGCUCCCACCUUCUAGGAGUUGAGAGUGAAAACCAUCCACCUAAGGGUUUGCUUGCUGCGUCUGGUCUUUCGGGGGCUCUGCUGUCUUGUUCCUAGGUCCGACAAAUGCCUGGAUCAAGCAUGGAGGUUCAGGUUUCCUGUUUUUCAACUUAACCAACAGCUGGAUCAAGCACCGCAAAAUUAAAGGCGCAGCAGCCGUGAUCAAGGCGAGUUGAAACGUUUCUCCAUCCGGGGUAACAGCAAAGAUUGCAGAUCCAUAAGUUAUAAUCAUUGAAACGCCAGCAACCCUUACUUCAAACUUGAAAGGAAAAUUAUGCGUGAGAGACAUAAUGACAAGUACCGCUGCAGAAAAGGCUAGGGUGUUGGAAGUCAAGAAAACGUAGUAGGCAUCUGAGUCAGAUGCACAGAUAGCAGUGCCUGCUAUAUGGUCAGCCUUGGUUUCCUGCCAUACACCGCCAGGGGGGUUAACCCCAGCUUGGAAGGUCACGGCAGCUAUAAGGGUCGCAACUACCAAGAGAGCGUUGCGGGCGUCGGCUCUAUUCUUAUCCCUGUCCUCCUCGUUUGCACCUUCCUUGUACUGAAAAUAACGACACCAGUCCUUGAAAGUAGUCCCAACCAUUGUUUUCUCUUG
Molecule: long non-coding RNA, 70179 nt
Filed under: Theobroma cacao (cacao)
Lineage: Eukaryota; Viridiplantae; Streptophyta; Magnoliopsida; Malvales; Malvaceae
Description: long non-coding RNA (TCAC_LNC000649)
Source: RNAcentral